AAGUUUGAUGGACACGCUCACCCAUCUUAAAAUUGGUCGUUGUGAUGGUGUGGAGUCCUUCCCCAAUAAGGAUUGUGCGUUGCUGCCUCCCUCCCUUACCUCUCUAACGCUAUGCCAUAUGUCAAGUUUGCACACGUUGGACUGCACGGAGCUUCUCCACCUCACUUCCCUCCAACACUUAGCAAUUCUAUUUUGUUACAAGCUGGAGAAUAUGGCGGGAGAAAGGCUGCCUGCUACUCUAACAAUACUUCAAAUCAUUGGAUGUCCACUGCUGGAAGAACGGUGCCGCAUGAAACAUCCGCAAAUUUGGCCCAAAAUUUCCCACAUCCAAAGCAUUGUGUUUCACUGCACAUGAAUUUAGAAACUUCAACUUGGAUUUUCAAUGGUGAUUUCUCUACUUUGCCUUAAUUUUAAUGCGACUUCCCAAUUUCACUCAUAUUCUGCAUCUUUUGUAUCUACUUUAUUUAUCGUAAACAUCCGUCUCUUGUUCAUGUUGUUUGCCGUUUGUUGUAAGAGGUCGUAUAGGCCUAGAGUCAUAACAAAUAUUUUAUUUCAUAUUUUCAAGUAAAGAUUAUCUAAGCAAAUAUCUCAUUAUUUUUGUGGGCACGUGUCAAUGAUAUUAUAGUUAGUAGUAGGACAAGGAUGUUGUCUGAUCUUAAAUUUUUUUUUCUUUCUGUUCUACAGAUAUUGAAGUAGCUAACUCCCUUGUUGAUUGUGCUGAGAAUAUCAAUCGGGUUGCUUUUGGUUUGUACAACCAUGUGAGUUCUUUAACUUAUCUUCUAAUGCAAUAGAUAGUUAGUUUCACUGGAACACUUCUUCAUGGAUAAGACAACACUUUCACUAAAUUGAUUAUUUACAUCUUUUGGCGUCAAUAUUAUGAUGCUAAAAGACUUCCAUAGGAAAAUAUUUGCAUCAAAAUUUCAAACAUUUACGAAAAGGACUCCCAUUGUUAAUUCCUUUCAAACAGUUGACAUCUUCAAUUGCAAGACUUAUUACUGAAAAUUUUGUUGUCAUUAAACAAAUGGUACUUGACCUCUACUCCUUUUGUUGUCCUUUACGAAAUGCACAUUUUUUAUGCUCCUUUUGCCUGCAAAGUGCUAAAUAACCAAAUUGUCUCACAUAUAAAUGUGACACUGGUUCUGGAAAACCUUCACUGAAAUGCUGAAACUAUAUAGGCAAUAAUGAUUUAAGUGAAAUUCAUGAGCUGAAAAGCUGCCUUUUCCUUUUUAUAUACAUAACUUUUCCAAAGGACCUUAUUAGUUGUGAAAUAUUAAAAAGCUUUGAUUAGCCUGAUGGAAAAACAUUUUUCUCCAAAAACAAGCCUAGUGGAAACAUGCCAAAUGUGUUAAUGGAUAGAAUGUGUGCAAUGAUAAUUCUAAGUAGGAGAUUUUGUUUCUUUGUUAUGUCAACCUCGAACAAUGAUACUCUUUUUAUUUUAAAAGAUUUGAUAUUAGUAGAUCUUUACACUUAAGAUCUUUUUGCAGGUGUGCUUAAACAAAACAGACCAUGUCAUAAAGUUUAUUGAAGAGAAUUUCAAAAUCAAUUAUUUGGAAGAGAACAAUAUUAGUUUGUGGAGAUUGUAACUGGAGAGACGGCACCUCAGCCCUGUUAUUUGCGUGCUUCAUGUUCUGUUUCCAAGAAUAUGUGUGAUAAAGAAGUUAUAUUUAUGAUAUAUGUGGAAGUGGGAGUAUAUAAGAGUAUCUUAAGUUUUCUUAAGGUAUUGGGAACUUUACUAAAUAUUAUUGUUAUGAUUUGUUUAGUUUAGAAUUUGCAAUACAAAAAAUACUGAGAGGGAGAUGCUAUUUUGAGUUUAUUAUGUUUUAAACUUUAUAUAAUACUUCAGAAAAAUGUUAACUCAAAUCAAUGACUUUCGAAGUUCAAAUAAUAUUUGCUCAUAGAAAUGUUAUCUGACAUACUAUUCCAAAUAACACUCCUAGAUAUGCAUUAUCAUAAUGCUGUGUUUUUAUUUAUUUAUUCAGAAUGCAAUGUUUUUUUUUAUUAAACAUAAAUUACUCUAUAAACAAUUGGCAUUUAUUUAGAUAAUACCCUCAGAGUAGAAGCUAAGUGUGCAUAACCAACUGAAUGCCACACUAAUUGAAUACUUCUCUCUUCUUACCUGAUUGAAUAAAAUAAGCAUGAAAGUAAAUAUAUAUCUAUAUUAAUUUAAUAACUCGUUCAAUAGGAUAUAUGCAAAUGUGCUUGUGUUUGACUUGGUAGGAGUGUUUGGUAUAUCGUACUACUCCUAUCUAUUUUCAAACAACUAUAACGUGUAAGACUGAAAUUAAGUCACCAGUUCAUUAUAUAGGAUGAGAAGACGUUUUGCAAGUAUAAUUAUAAGUUUAAACAACAUCAUUUUCCUUGUGAUUCUUAGGAUCCAAAUUAGUGUAUUGAGUAUCAUGUUUGGUUUACUAGAAUUACGGGGUUUUACAAAAUUAUGUUUGACUUAAUAUAGUUAUAGUAAAAUCACUGCGGUCAAACAUGCAUCUUGACAAAUUUAUAUUCUCAUUAAUUAGCUUGAAACUAAUUAAAUAUUAAUGUUCUCCCUCAUGUCUCAUAUAUAAAUAUAUAUAUAUAUAUACAUAUCCGUAGUAACAUGCAUUUGGAAGAUCCUUUAGCUACUUUAUAACAACAUUGAGAGUCAAUAUAAAAAAAUAUGUAGUCGUGCUUCAUUAAAAAAUUAACUGUAUUAUUUAAAUUGUCUUUCUUGUUUGUCCUAUGAGAAUACAAAAGUUAUUUUUAGAAAAAUAAAAUUUAAAUUGAUGAAGUCAUACCGUAGAAAUAAUAUUAAAUGGGUAUAAUUAGUAUUAAUAUUUGCUAAGACAAUAUAAGCAGUUUUCACUACGCCAAAAAUGACAUUUUAUAGCACGUCUUUUACGACGCUAAUUAAAUACAAGCGCUGUUGUAGAAUUUUUAAAAAAUAACGGAGGAUACAACAUCGUUUUUUUUACAAGCGCUGUUGUAGGUUUUUAAAAAAUAAGUUAAUGAGGUCUUUUUACAGCGCUGUAAUAGGCUUUUAAAAAAUAAGUUAAGUCUUUUACAGCGCUCUUUGUUGAGACAAAAUCUUUCAAAUGAUUUUAAUGAUAACAAAAUUACUUAAGAGAUUAUGAUUGUGGUUAAUGACUAACAUGUGUUCUUGAGUGUAUUCAUAUAAGAUAAUAGGUUAUUAAUCAUUAAGGCAAAAAGAAGGAAAAUGUGAUUUUGGCCUGAGGAUGGAAAACCAACGUGAGGAUGGAAAUUGCUGCAAACGCGAGGAUGGAAAUUGCUGCAAUUUGGAAAAACUCCAGAUUUAGACAAUAUGAUCUCUCACCAAAACAAAUGUGUUUAUUCAAAUGCAUAACAAUGUCAAACAUGAAUAAACAAAGCAUUUAAAAUUAAGAGUCAAAAGGUCAAAAGAAAAAAGAUGAAUAAGGCUAGAUCUAGUUUGCAGAGGAUGGCAGAAUAGGUAGAGGAUAGGCCAACAAAAGUGAAAGCAACCUAUCAAGCAUGUGCAAAGGCUAAAAUCUGGACAUUUAUUGGGCUUGCACGUUUUGAUACAUGAAGAAGUCAAGUUAACAAAAGGCAACUUGAAACAAGCCAAAAAUGGAAGAUCACAUGUUGCUGCCAGAUCUGAUCCUCGGACUGAGUAUGACAGUCCUAUGUCAUAAAGUGGCUUUUUCUCUCUUGUCCACAUCACCUCAAAAGAUGAAGCCAACCUAGACCUUAAAGACUUCGAAAAAUGCAGCUCAGAAACAGNNNNNNNNNNNNNNNNNNNNNNNNNNNNNNNNNNNNNNNNNNNNNNNNNNNNNNNNNNNNNNNNNNNNNNNNNNNNNNNNNNNNNNNNNNNNNNNNNNNNNNNNNNNNNNNNNNNNNNNNNNNNNNNNNNNNNNNNNNNNNNNNNNNNNNNNNNNNNNNNNNNNNNNNNNNNNNNNNNNNNNNNNNNNNNNNNNNNNNNNNNNNNNNNNNNNNNNNNNNNNNNNNNNNNNNNNNNNNNNNNNNNNNNNNNNNNNNNNNNNNNNNNNNNNNNNNNNNNNNNNNNNNNNNNNNNNNNNNNNNNNNNNNNNNNNNNNNNNNNNNNNNNNNNNNNNNNNNNNNNNNNNNNNNNNNNNNNNNNNNNNNNNNNNNNNNNNNNNNNNNNNNNNNNNNNNNNNNNNNNNNNNNNNNNNNNNNNNNNNNNNNNNNNNNNNNNNNNNNNNNNNNNNNNNNNNNNNNNNNNNNNNNNNNNNNNNNNNNNNNNNNNNNNNNNNNNNNNNNNNNNNNNNNNNNNNNNNNNNNNNNNNNNNNNNNNNNNNNNNNNNNNNNNNNNNNNNNNNNNNNNNNNNNNNNNNNNNNNNNNNNNNNNNNNNNNNNNNNNNNNNNNNNNNNNNNNNNNNNNNNNNNNNNNNNNNNNNNNNNNNNNNNNNNNNNNNNNNNNNNNNNNNNNNNNNNNNNNNNNNNNNNNNNNNNNNNNNNNNNNNNNNNNNNNNNNNNNNNNNNNNNNNNNNNNNNNNNNNNNNNNNNNNNNNNNNNNNNNNNNNNNNNNNNNNNNNNNNNNNNNNNNNNNNNNNNNNNNNNNNGACCACCCUACUUUGAUGGUACAGAUUACUAUCAUUGGAAAGGUAAGAUGAGGCUAUUUCUCAUUUCACAAGACAACAACAUAUGGUCUGUGGUGGAAAAUGGAGAUCAUGUCAUCAGGACCAACAACGCAGAUGCAACCUCCCAUGAGAAACCUCAAGCACAAUGGACGGAUGAUGAAAAUGCAAAGGUACUCCUAAACUCUAAAGCUCAUUUAUUUCUAACGUGUGCUUUGUGCAGGGAAGAGUAUGACAGAGUUGAAGAAUGCAAAAACGCUAAAGAGCUAUGGGAUACUCUAAGAAUUCAUCAUGAAGGAUCAAGUCAUGUAAAAGAAGCAAGGAUAGAUAUGGGAGUAAGGGAUUUCGAAUUAUUCGAAAUGAAGGAGGAUGAAACUAUUGAUGAAAUGUUCUCAAGGUUAACCAUCAUAUUGAAUAACUUGAGAUCUCUUGGAAAGGUAUACUCCGUUCAAGAAAGGAUAAGAAAGAUUCUAAGAAGUUUACCAAAAGAAUGGAGGCCAAUGGUAACUGCCAUUACAGAAGCAAGAGAUUUGACCAACAUGAAAUUAGAAGAUUUGGUUGGAACUCUAAGAGCUCAUGAACCAUUGUUGUUGGCUGAUAACCCAAACAAAAAGGGAAGAAUGAUUGCUCUAAAAACCAACCAAACAGAAAGCUCAUCCUCCAAGAAAAAUGAAGAUGUCAUAACAAAGGAAAGCGCAGAGUAUCCUCUGUCGGAGGAUGAGGAUGACCUCGUUCUGAUUUCCAGAAAAAUCCAGAGGAUGUUAAACAGAAGAGGACAUAAUAGAUGACCUCCUCAAAAAGAAAAAAUUGACAAGAGUCAAAUAACUUGUUAUGGAUGCAACAAGAUGGGACACUAUAAAACUGAGUGUCCUCUCAACAAAAGGAACUCUAGAAAAUUCCCAUACAAAAACAAAUCCAUGAUGAUCACUUGGGAUGAUAGUGAUGAGUCAUCCUCGGAGCAAGAAAAGGAAGAAGAGGCCAACCUAUGUCUCAUGGCAAAAUCAGAAAAUGAAAAGGUAAGUAUUUCUGAUCUAUGUCCUAAUUGUGAAAAAUUAGAAAUUGAAUUUGAUAGCCUUUUAAAUGACUCAUACACUUUAUCUCAAAAAUGCAUGAUUCAAAAAAAUCAACUUGUUGAGAUAAAGAAACAAAAUGAGGAGCUACAGAAAAAUAAUGAUGAAUAUGUUAAAAUCAUUCAAGAUUUGCAGCAAUCUCACUUUCAAAAUUCUGAGAAACGAAAAAUUCUUGAAACGCAUCCUCCUGACGAGGAUACAAAAAAGGAAAUUUUGAAAACUGAGGUUAGGGAACUAAAAAAUGAUAUUACCAACUUUGUCAAAUCUACAGAAACAUUUCAAAAGAUAAUGGGGUCCCAAUCUGGUAUAUUUGACAAGGCUGGAAUUGGUUUUAAAAUCUCUCAAAAACAAAAAUUAUAUGAAAAUUUUUUCUUGCCUAAAAAACGAGAGGAUAUGCCUAAAUGCACCUUUUGCAAAAAACUUGGGCAUACUUCCAAAAUUUGUCAUGCUAAGAAGAAAGCUAACAAUGAAAAGGCAGCAUGCUCAUUCUGUGGUAAACAUGGGCACCAUGAUUCUAUUUGCCAUCAUAAAAGAAAUGUCCGAAAAACUAACCAACAAGGACCCAAAGCUAUAUGGGUACCUAAGUCUCUUUUAAACUCUAAAACAGGUUCAUCCUCUAAUCAACAAAAGAAAGCCUUGGUACUUGGACAGUGGUUGCUCAAGGCAUAUGACGGGAGAUAAGCACUGCUUCAUGUCAUUGGAGAUAAAGUAUGGAGGAUCAAUCACAUUUGGUAAUAAUGAUAAAGCUCAAAUAAAAGGAACAGGUAUUAUUGGUAAGAAUAAUUCUGCAAAAAUUGAAAAUGUUCAAUAUGUGGAUGGCUUAAAACAUAACUUGCUAAGCAUUAGUCAAUUAUGCGAUAGUGGUUUUGAAGUUAUUUUUAAGUCUACUCUAUGUGAGGUUAAGCACUCAUCUUCGGGUAGAGUUUUAUUCUCCGGUUUUAGAAAAAAGAAUUUAUAUGAACUUUAUCUUGAUGAUUUACCUUCUGAAUCUUGUUUUGUUUCCAUUGAAAAAGAUAAAUGGAUUUGGCACAAACGAGCGGGUCACACAAGCUUAAACACUAUUUCUAAAUUAGCAAAUUUAGAAUUAGUAAAAGGACUUCCAAAAAUCAAUUUUGAAAAAGACAAAGUUUGUGAAGCUUGUGUGAAAGGAAAACAAGUUAAAAGUAGUUUUCACUCUAAAAACUUUGUUUCAACAAAUCAUCCUCUUGAACUCAUUCACAUUGAUCUUUUUGGUCCUAUCAAAACUCCAAGUCUUAGUGGAAAAAGAUAUGGCUUUGUACUUGUUGAUGAUUUUUCUCGUUUUACUUGGGUUCUAUUUUUAAAACACAAAGAUGAAGCCUUUGAGGCAUUUCACCAUUUUUGCAAAAAGAUUUAAAAUGAAAAAGGAUAAAAAAUUGUCUCGGAGAGAAGUGACCACAGAGGUGAAUUUGAAAAUGAAUCUUUUAAAAAUCUUUGGGUGUUAUUGCUACAUUCUAAAUAAUAAAGAAAAUUUGGGAAAGUUUGAUCCAAAAUCUGAUAAAGGAAUUUUUCUAGGAUACUCCACAACGUCAAAAGGUUAUAGAAUAUAUAAUCUUAGGACUCAAACUGUGCAGGAAUCCAUGCAUGUUAUUUUUGAUGAGUUUGAUGACUUGUGUUUAGAGAAAAUGGAUAAGGAUGAAGAAGAUGAAAAAUCAUCCUCUCAAGUACCCGGUCCUCACGCAGAGGAUGAGUCUGAUCCAACCUCUCAACAACUUCCAAGAGGAUGGAAAACAGUCACGCAUCAUCCUCUAGAUCUAGUCAUUGGGAAUACUGAAGAUGGUGUGAGAACCAGAAACUCUCUAAGGGAAAAUACUUCCAACAUGGCCAUGAUAUCACAAGUUGAACCCAAGACAAUUGAUCAAGCUAUUGGUGACAAAUCAUGGGUUGAAGCUAUGAUGGAAGAACUCUCACAAUUUGAAAGAAACAAGGUAUGGAAUCUUGUACCCCAUCCUCUGGACAAAUCUGUUAUUGGAACUAAAUGGAUAUUUAGAAACAAACUAAAUGAGGAUGGAGAAGUCAUUAGAAAUAAAGCAAGACUAGUGGCACAAGGGUACAACCAACAAGAAGGAAUAGAUUAUGAUGAAACGUUUGCACCUGUAGCAAGACUUGAAGCAAUAAGAAUCCUCUUAGGUUAUGCUACUCAUAAAGGUAUAAAACUAUUUUAAAUGGAUGUGAAAAGUGCCUUUUUGAAUGGAUUCUUAAAUGAAGAAGUGUAUGUCCGUCAACCUCCUGGGUUUGAAGAUGAGAAGCGGCCAAACCAUGUGUUCAAACUCUCUAAAGCUCUUUAUGGUUUAAAGCAAGCUCCUAGAGCUUGGUAUGAGAGGUUAAGUUCUUUUCUAAAAGAAAAUGGAUUCAUUAUAGGACAGAUUGAUACUACUCUUUUCAAGAAAACACUUGAAAAGGAUUUAUUGAUUGUUCAAAUAUAUGUCGAUGACAUUAUAUUUGGAUCCACAAAUGAAAAAAUGUGUAAAGAAUUCUCAAAUCUCAUGCAAAGUGAGUUUGAGAUGAGUAUGAUGGGGGAAUUGAAAUUCUUCCUUGGUUUACAAAUCAAACAACGAGAGGAUGAUAUUUUUAUCUCACAAGAAAAAUACACCAAGGAUUUGCUCAAAAAAUACAACAUGAGUUCAGCCAAGAGUAUGGGAACUCUGAUGCACCCAUCCUCCACACUCCACAAAGAUGAUGAAGAAACCCCAAUUUCUGAAAAAGAAUACAGAGGGAUGAUAGGAUCCUUGUUAUAUUUAACAGCAAGCAGACCGGACAUAGUCUUUGCAGUCGGUCUUUGUGCAAGAUUCCAAUCCUCUCCUAAAGAAUCUCAUCUCACAGCUGUAAAAAGGACUUUUAGAUACCUUGUUGGCACUAUAAAUCUGGGAAUUUGGUACAAGAAAUGUUCCAAUCUUGACCUUAUAGCUUAUUGUGAUGCCGACUACGCGGGAGACAAAGUUGAAAGAAAAAGCACAAGUGGUGCUUGCCAAUUUCUUGGUAAAUCCCUAAUAAGUUGGUCAUGCAAAAAAUAAAGUACCAUUGCUCUUUCAACUACUGAAGCAGAGUAUGUAUCAGCCGCUCAAUGUUGCUCACAACUGCUCUGGAUAAAAAAUCAGCUUGAGGAUUACUCGCUAAGGUACGCAAAAAUUCCCAUCCUCUGUGAUAAUACAAGUGCAAUAAAUCUUUCUAAAAAUCCCAUUCAACAUUCUAGAUCUAAGCACAUUGAAAUUAAACAUCAUUUUAUAAGAGAUCAUGUGCAAAAAGGGGAUUUAGAACUGAUUUUUAUCGACACUGAAAAUCAAUUAGCAGAUAUCUUUAUCAAACCUCUCCAAGAGGAUAGGUUCAAAAAGAUCUUGGAUGAACUUUCAAUUCUUAAUUUGUCUAAAAUUAAUUGAUUUAUCUUGGUCAUAUUAUUAUAUUUUUUAUAAAAUUUUUAUUUUUAUAAAAUUUUUAUAUUUUUAUCUGUUGUUUUUUUUUAAAAAAAAAAUAAAAAAUAAGUUUUUACAAUUUUAAUUAGGCAUGUGAGGAUAGGAAACCCACCAGAAAACAGAAUGUCCUUAUUGGUAUAACUUCACGUGACAUGUCAACUUAGGAAGAGAGCACGCGCCCUUCUCUCUCAUUGGGCAGUACGAGUGGCACAUGCCUCCGUACUUCACGCCAGACAUUUAAUGCAAAACGGCUACAUGUCUAAUCCAUCAUCACGCUAGUUCUCUAGGCUACGACGCAUUAAAUUUUUCUGUCCCCUUCACGUUUCCUCACAUUCCCUCACGGUCUCUCACACGUUUCCUCACACGUUCUCCUUGUUCAUCUCCCAUCCUCGUCUAUUUGUUUCCCAUCCUCUAUCAUUUUCACUCAUCAACCUUUUGCCCAGAAAACCUUUCAUCACUCAACAGUUUCUUCCCUCACCUUCUUGUAUCAAUGGCUCGAAUCAAAAUGACUGUAAAGCGCAAAAAAUCUUGCCAAGAACCAGAGAAAAACCAAGACGUCUACUCAAGCACUGAGUCAGAUUAUAAUGAAGAAAACCAAUCUGAAGAAACUUCCAUGAACACCAUUUCUUCAUCUCAACCAUCCAAAAGCUCUUCUCCUUCUAUUACUCCAAAAAUCGUCAAAAAAUCCUCCUCCUCAACUCCUUCCAGGCGCUCCUCCAGAAUCAUUUCUGGAGCCGUUUCAACCAAUAAGGCACCUCCUCAGGACAAUACGAUUCAUGUCAUCAACUCUGAUGAUUCAGAGACCACUCCUCCUGUUGAACCAGCACAACAACCUCCUCCUGCAAAAUCAAAUUCUGAAACUUCAACUCCCAAAAAGGCCAAACCGUCUUCACCAAAACCCCCUUCAUCAUCCACAAAAAUUUCUGAAAAUGCUUCACUGUUUGAUUCAACCGAAUUAGAAACUGUCUACACUUCCAAAUGGCAAAACAAGUCAGUGGUAAAUGGAAAAAUCAUUGACCUUGCUGAUAUCAAACAAGGAGGGUUCAAUGUUGAAGAAAUGUUUGAACAACUCGGUUGGACCUCAUUUUUCAAAAUAAAUGAACCAUAGCACCCGCGUCUUGUAAGGGCUUUCUAUGCCGCUUCAAGAGGAUCAAAAGGCUUGACUAAUUUCAGUAUGGUACUAAAAGGGGUUCAUAUGGAAAUUAAUCCCACCACACUAUGUCAAAUACUAGAUAUACGUGAUGAAGGAGCUCACUGCUUCUCUGAGACAUGGUACUCACAAUGUCUCAUCACUAGGACCUCUGUGCUCCAAAACGCACUCAUCAAACCUCCAAAACCAUUGGUGGCCUCCAACCUCGUCCCCUUGUGUCGAAUCCUCCACAAUAUCUGUGUCCACUCCAUCACUCCCCGGGUUGGCAGUUUUGAGAAAGUCACAGAUCUGGAUCUCAUGAUUAUUCAUCAUGUGAUCACUGGUACUCCUCUUCAUUUGGGCCAUGCUAUUUUUACCUUCAUGCUGAAUGCUGUUGUAUUGGGACGAUCUGCUCCCUAUGGGAUGAUUUUGACAAAAAUCUUCAAAUUUUUCAGAAUCCCACUUGAGGAUGAACAUUCCAUCCACCUCAACAACACUUUUUCUAUGAAGAACAUUAAACAGAUGAAGAUUCAAAAUGAUGACCGUCCUGCCUCAAAGAAAAGAAAAACUCGUCCUUCCUCCUCUGUUUCUCCAAACUCUAAAGGUGAAACCACUCAUCCUCCACCUGAGGAUACACCAUCACCACUUAUUCCAGAACCAACCUCUCCACUGCGUAACUCUCCUGAUACUACUCCUUCUCCUGCCUCUCAUGUCCCCACAACAACUCAGUCUACACCAAUCCACAAACUGACUCCCCUUCGUGAAGCCGAUCCUAUUCCUGAGGAUGCCUCAAAGUCAACUUUUCCUCAACAUAUGGAAGAUGGUGAGGAGUUAUACUUUGAUCUGAAUUUAUCUUAUCCUCCAUCUCCUACGGAUGUGCCUAUGGCUUCUCCUCCCAUUGUGCCAGCGGAUGAAGAUGUGCUACCACCACCAGAUUUUUCGCAACAAAUUCCUCCUACUGCAAACUUUGAAAAAACAGCUCAACCUCUUCCUGAGGUUACAGGUGUGUUCAGUUCCCUUGACUCCUUCUUUACUGCCACUACUCAUAACCAGUCAAAGGACAAGGCUGGGAGCUCUCAUAAUAAGAGUUUCAGUGUAAAUGAUCAGCCUAAAGGCUCGGUUCCUAGCACAAGGAUUGGGGAUAACAAGAAGCAGAUGAAACUCCUCAAAUUAAUUAGGAAAGACCAGAAGAAAAUUCUUCAGCGCUUCACUCACUUUCAGAACUCUUUGGUUCAAUUUGGGCUCAUUCUUGAAUGGGUUACCAAACACUUGGUUCCUACUAUUGCUCCUGGAGAUCAUCCUCCUGAGCUACCAACCCAGCCAACCUCUGAUGUUCCAUCUCCUUCAUCUUCAUCAGAUGAACCAGCCUCCUCAGAUUAAAUCUGUUGUUAUUUCUUUUUGCUGCUGCCAAAUUCAGGGGAGAAUGAUUAUGUUUUUAUGAUUAUGUUGUCUGUUUAGUGAUUAUGCUUUUUGGUAUCUAGUUGCUUUGGGUUCAUGCUGUUAAAACUGUUUAAUUAUUGUUUUGUUAAGUUGAUUAGUUAUGUUGCUUAUGAACCCAUGACUAUGCUUUGCUGAACAAAUCUUUAAAUGAUUAUCUAAAUUAUCAUGAUGUCAUUUGUAUGGUUAAAAUUAUGUUAUUUCAACACUUUGGCAUACAUUUAGGGGGAGUAAUGAUUUUUAGUUUUAAAAAUUAUUACACAUAUAUUUGAGGGGGAGCAUAAACAUUUUAUCUUUGUCUUAUUUAAAAUCAUAAUCUAAAGAAUUUUGUCAUCAUCAAAAAGGAGGAGAUUAUUGAGACAAAAUCUCUCAAAUGAUUUUAAUGAUAACAAAAUUACUUAAGAGAUUAUGAUUGUGGUUAAUGACUAACAUGUACUCUUGAGUGUAUUCAUAUAAAAUAAUAGGUUAUUAAUCAUUAAGGCAAAAAGAAGGAAAAUGUGAUUUUGGCUUGAGGAUGGAAAACCCACGUAAGGAUGGAAAUUGCUGCAAACGCGAGGAUGGAAAUUGCUGCAAUUUGGAAAAACUCCAGAUUUGGACAAUAUGAUCUCUCACUAAAACAAAUGUGUUUAUUCAAAUGCAUAACAAUGUCAAACAUGAAUAAACAAAGCAUUUAAAAUUAAGAGUCAAAAGGUCAAAAGAAAAAAGAUGAAUAAGGCUAGAUCUAGUUUGCAGAGGAUGGCAGAAUAGGCAGAGGAUAGGCCAGCAAAAGUGAAAGCAACCUAUCAAGCAUGUGCAAAGGCUAAAAUCUGGACAUUUAUUGGGCUUGCACGUUUUAAUACAUGAAGAAGUCAAGUUAACAAAAGGCAACUUGAAACAAGCUAAAAAUGGAAGAUCACAUGUUGCUGCCAGAUCUGAUCCUCGGACUGAGUAUGACAGUUCUAUGUCAUAGGGUGGUUUUUUCUCUCUUGUCAACAUCACCUCAAAAGGUGAAACCAACCUAGACCUUAAAGUCUUCGAAAAAUGCAGCUCAGAAACAGUCUUGCACUCUGAUUAAAGAGAAAAAGCAAGGACAUGUCAAGAUCAAAGCUAUGCUGCGUGAGGAUGGGUUCUGCCUAGCCUAACAAGAUGAGUGGCAGUUCUGUAAUUAUGAUGAAAACCUUUGAUCUUUUGAAAAUGAGCUCCAACGGUCAUCAAGGGCUUGGAUCUCUAUAAAAUGCAAACAAGCUCUCCAUUGGAAGACACACAACACACUUGCAUAAAAAGAUCAAGCAUCUUAAAGCUUUCAAGAAGCAAAUCACAUCCUCUCUUAUUACUUUCCUUGAUCCUACACUAUAUCUUUGUAUAUCCUUUGAGAAAGUAUUAAGUAUCAAUCACUCUCAUUCUACUUUGUAAUUUCCUAGUGAGUGAAGCUUGGAAAUAUUUGAAAAUUGAUUGUAAGCUUGGUGAAGCUUGAGAAUACACGGUUUGUAAUCAUCCUCGGGUUGAGGAUCGAUCUGUUUGAAAGUUAGUGAAAUCUCACAAGGGUGUGAGGACUGGAUGUAGCCAUCUUUGAGUGAACCAGUAUAAAAUUGUGUGUGUGUCCCUCAUAUUCUGAUCCUACUCUUUUGCUCAACUUACAUCUAACGAUUUGAAAAAUCUCAUCCUCGAGCUAGUCAUCCUCAGCGAGAGGAUAGUUUUUAAAACACUUAGAAUUUAUUUUUAACAGCUAAAUCCCUAUUCAACCCCCCCUUCUAGUGAUAUUUAGCUACAUCACUCUUUAGCGCUCUUUCAAAUAGCACUAUUAGUAAUAGGCUUUUAAAAAAUAAGUUAAGGAGGCCUUUUACAGCACUCUUUGAAAGAUCGCUGUAAUAGGCUUUUAAAAAAUAAGUUAAGGAGACUUUUUACAGCGCUCUUUCAAAGAGCGCUGUAGUAGGCUUUUAAAAAAUAAGUUAAAGAGAUCUUUUACAGCGCUCUUUCAAAGAGCGUUGUAAUAGGCUUUUAAAAAAUAAGUUAAGGAGACCUUUUACAGCGCUCUUUCAAAGAACGUUGUAAUAGGCUUUUAAAAAAUAAGUUAAGGAAGUCUUUUACAGCACUCUUUCAAAGAGCGCUGUAAUAAGCUAUUAAAAAUUAACUUAUAUUUAAAAAAUAAUAAUUACAUUAAAAUGAAUACAUUUUUCACAUGUUUUAAAUUUUAUUUAUCAUAUAUACAUUAACAACGUAAUUUCUAUUUAAUUUUUUUUUACAACUCUACUAUAGCAAUUUAAAAUAUGAACGUUUUAUGUCUUUUGAAAAUAAUCUUAACGCAUUUUAUAUAUAUAUAAUAUUACAUAUUUCAUAAUUAGAUCAAUAUUAUGAACUUGUUUUCUUUUAAAUAAGUAUUAUUUGGUUUCGAAAAAAUUUUACAAUUUCUUAAGAAAAUAACAUUUUACUAACAUAAUAAACCAUAACAAAAUAAAUAACUAUAAUAAAAAAAUAACAUUUUAAUUUGAGUAAAAUAUUAUCCCUAAACCCUAAACUGCUUCAGUUUUCUCUUCGUUACGUAAACUUCAUACGCUUGUUUUUUUGUUUAUAUUCGAGACCAGAGAUAAUAUUAUAAAACUUAUUUCUUCUAUAACAAAAUUUAAAUAAAAUAAUCACUUAGACAAUUAUUAUGAUAAUUCGUUAUUCAUAUUUAUUCUUGUUAAUCACAUUUAAAAAUUUAAUUUUAUCAUCUAAAGUACCACUCAUUUAUUUUAUCACAUUAAAAAACUUUGCAUUUAAUGUAGACAAAAAUAACAUUAAAUAAAUGGCAUUUUUAGUAUAUUAUCAUUAAAAUUGGAUGAAAAUUUGAAAAUGAUCAAUUUAUGGUUAUGAUUUCAAAAUUUGUUUGAUAGUAGCAUUAUGUAGACAUGGGAUAUGUUGUCCCUUCGGGAAUAAUAGAUAAACAUAAUCCAUUGCACAAAGACGACACACACAAAUCGAGAUAUGGUUAAAAUUUGUCCAAGUGACACAAGUUCAGUGAUAUAAGUUUUAACAUCGAACAUCAAGGAAAUAAUGUUCAAAUUUCAUCAGAUAUCGUUGUAAAAUAGUCAUUAAUACUAUUUUAUUUAUUAAUAAUUUUCUUUUUCUUAGUUUUUUUAUAAAUAAAUACCAAUAUAUAGGAACAAUCUUAAGAUUCAUAUAUGAUUUAAGAGUGAAUUUAGAAUUUUUAAAUUUUAAUUAGUGUUAAAAAAUUUUAAAUUUAAUAAAAUAUAUCAUAAAAUUUAUUAUCUAAACUAAUAGUUAAUUUAUAUUGAAAAACUUGAAUUACUAAAAAAAAAACAUUUUCUCACGUCCAAACACAUUUAUAAAGAAUCCGCAUAGAUUAAUGAGUUUGGUUUGAUUUUAUCUGAUGGCCGUGAAAUUAAACAACAAUUAAUUACUCUUUUUGUCUCUAAAUAUAAGAAUUAUUUUAUGAAAUUCAGAAAAUUGAUAAUAGCAACAUUUGGUAUUUUUUUAUAAGUUUAUCAUUAUUUGUUUAACGUAAAAUAAAUUUAUCAUUCAUAAGACAAAACUAAUUUAUAUUUUAAUAUAAUACUAUAUAGAAAAAGAUAAUAAAUGGUCUUAUUAAAGAGUAAUUUAAAAUAUUUAUAUUAAAUUUAACUUAUUCUUACAAGCUAAUUUAUAAAGUAAAAGAUAUCACAUUUUAUAAACUUUUAAAGUUCUAUGAUAAAAUACAUCGUGUAGUCGAUUAAGUUAUAUAUACAAAAAUAUUAUAUUGGUCUUUUAACAUUUUUUUUAAUAAAUUAGUCAUUUGUGUUUGUAAACAUUAUAAUAUUAAACUAUUUUUAGUUCUUAACCUCAUUUUAAUAAUUUUAAUAAGCUUUUAUUUGAUUUUAUGAUAUGAAUUAUGAGAAUUUUGCAUUUAAGUUUGAUAACUUAAGUAUAUAUCUCACUUGAAUUCUCUCUUAAUUGUUUAAUUAUUUUUUAAAAAGGUGAUUGAUUGUUUAUGUACUUAAGAUUAUAUCAAAAUCUGUUAGAAUUACAUAAAUUUAUUAAAAAUAUUACAAAAAUUAUAAAUUUCAAUUUUGUUGGUUUGAAAUUAAAACAACAUUUAUAAACAUAAAAGACAAACUUAGUUAAAAGAUUAAUUUAUUAAAAAAAAUAUAAAAAAUUAAUAUAUAAUAUUCUUGUAAGUUAAAAUACCUCGUGAUAUAUAUAUAUAUAUAUAUUUAAAUAAGUAAUUGUGUAAUUGAGAAGAGAAAGUGUUUACCCAAGCAAGUACUAUUAGAACGGCAUUUUCUUAUUGGGGAUCCAAUACGAACUUGAACUUCUCCUCACUAACAUCAACAGAUUGAAAUAUAGUGUACAAAAUGUCUCUUUAACGCAAUGAUAUCUCUUUCCGAAAACUGAUAUUAUGCGUAAAAAGAAACUUUCAUUGAACAAAAACAACCAAAAUUUAAUUAGUAAGAAAAUUAAGAAGUAACCAUAAAUAGCAAGUCAAAGCCACAAAGCACCAGCAUCUUUUAAUAUAGGAACCAAUUCACCUGAAAUAUGAGUACCCAUCACUCUUUCNNNNNNNNNNNNNNNNNNNNNNNNNNCUGAACCUUUUCGGAGGUUGUGGCGGAAGCGUGAUUUGACAACUGGGCAACAACGGCAGCUUCAUGGUCUUGGUCGAACUCGUAGACAGGAGGGUUGACUCCGAGACCUUGUAACAACCUUUUGACAACGUGGCAGAGACAACAGCCACGUGUACCAAUAAUUAUAACCGCGUUAUCUGAAACCAUUUUGAUUAUGUUGGAUUCGCGAUUCCCUACGGUGAUUGGAAGGUCACGUGUGACCGUAGAGAGAUUUGUUCUAUAAGGUAUUGCUUGGUGCAUGGUGUUCAGAGAGAGAGAGAGAGAGGGUAAUGAUGGAAAUAUAAAAAGUUAGGGGCGACGACUCUAACGUCAAUGGCUGUUAUGCUCUUACGUCACCAGCUACUGUGGAUGACGAUAUGUUACGUCACCGACUUGGUCAACAUUAGGGGUGGACAUCGGGCGGGUAUGGGUGGGUUCGGGCCUAAAAUGUAAAACCGGCCCAAUCCAUGGGUUUGAUGUUUUGGCCCAAUUUCGUCUAUAUUUUAAAUCGGGUACGUCGGGUUCGGAUAGAUCGGGUGUCGGUUACGUAUGGGCGGAUAAAAAUGGGUUGGAUUUUAUUGGACUUUUUUUGCUUUUUUUUCAUUCUAAAUUAUUCAGUUUUUUUUCUUUUAUUUAAGAAAAAAAAUCUGCUCUUUUAUAAUUUAUUGGCCCAAUCUGCUACCUAACUUAUUUUUAAUUGGGCUGAGUUGUUGGACUUGGUUCUGUUGUUGGGCUGGACUGCUUUUAAAAAACAUUUGUCUUGUGGCUGGGUUUUUUUUAAUAAAUUGGCCUUUUUUUUUAAUUUUUGGCAAGUGACUUUUUGUGUAUUUUAAAUUUAUAUAUUAAUAUAUAAUAUAAAAUUAAUAAUAUUAAUAUAUAAUAUAAAAAUAAUAAUAUAAAUCGGUCGGGUUCGGGUAUCGGCGGAUCCAAAUUACUCAUCCGAACCCGACCGUAUAAACCCAUAUGAACCCUUAUUUUUCACCCGCUUAACCCAUCAACCCGAAGAAACCCGUCCGCAAAUUUAAAUUUUAUAUUGGGUCGGUCGGAUUCGGGCGGGUCCGAUAAUUAUGUCCACCCCUAGUCAACAUAUACCCAUCUUCAUAUGCUCUAGUGUUACAUGCUUUUUGUAAUUAUCAUUUUUUAUGAAUUUAGUUUUAUUUUUUAUUUUUUUAUAAACGAAAUGCUAAAUACAACUAAAAAUCUUCUACUUAACAAUGUUAGUAUGUAUUAAUUAAUUAUAAUUUAAAAGACUAAUGAAUGUAAUCAUUAUUUUUAUAAAAUGAAACAGAAUAAUGUUUUUUACACAAGUAUAUAAAAAUUACCAUUAAAAAGUAUAUAAAAAAUAUGAUCCACAAAAUAAUUGAUACUAGCGGUAGAAAUCAUCCACAACAAAAUGAUCAAAGGAAUAAAAUCUAAGAUUCCUGAAAAAAAUUAUCGAUAAAUUGUGUCUCUGCAACAUCUUUUAAUAAUCUUACAAGUAUUUAUAUGGAUGGUUUUUUUAGAAAAUGACUAAUAGAUGAUUAAUAAAUUCAAAAUAAAGCAAUACAAACAUGUUCAUAGACACAAGCCAAAGUGAGAGGUGGAAAUUCACGGUUCACGACUAGUGUAUUGAACUCCUUUCGAUUUUAAUUACAGGGCAUUGCAAUAUGUUAUGAAAUCAUGCCUCACAAAAUUCAUGAAGUAUUAUGUGUUGUUUCUUUAAAUUAAAGAGAGGUGGUGUUCGUGACAGUUUACUACAUUUUCUUUAAUUAUAAAUAAAAAAAAUGUAUGUAUUUAUUGGCCUAAAUAAGGGCAGAGUUAGGAAAACAACUCAAGGGAACCAAUAAUAGAAAUGUAUGACUUAAUAAAAUAAAUUCGAAUUUUUCUGUUCAUAACAUAUGCAAAAUAUAUAAAAUUUUGUCACAUAAAUUGACAUUUGAAUGAACAAAAAUAUAAACAUUAUAGAAAUUGACAAAAACAAAGUUAGGAGAAAUUGAAAAUUUCUUCAAUAAAUUAAGUAGUAUUUAUAACAAUAUUUUUUGAACUUUUCUUUAUCCAAAAAAAAAAUUAAGGAGCAGUAAUAUACAUAUAACUUAUACACUUCUAUUGGUUUCAAUUUUUUACCCCAACUUAACAAUAUUUUUUCAAUUAAUAUGUCAUUGUUUUAAAUAUUGUUUAAUUGGCCUUUUAUAGAUGAUGCAAGUUAUUGCAAUAACAUGCCUAUUAAUUAGGAUGUAGUGUGGCAAAAAUAAAAAUGAAAAGGUAGAAUUUACAUUGAUUAAUAUGAUUAAAAUAUUAGGGGUGGCCAUGGCACCUGAGGGUCACCCGUCUCUACGCCCUGCCUCAAAUUAUUAGUAAACAUUAAUUAAUUUAUUUACUCUUAAUCCUCACAUGUAUGCAUGAAGAUUGGGAGUGUGAGGAUAUCGAGCAAUCAUAUUCGACCGUUUUCAUUUUUAUCGUUUAUGCAAUAUCUGUUUUUUUUUUUUUCUUUCUAUUUUUCUCUUCUCAUUAAAUAAAAUGUUAAAAAAGGGAUGUAGAGAAUGUUUAUAGUAAAUUCCCUAAAUUUUGAUAAGAUGCAAAUUUUAAUUUUAAUGCAGCCUAAGAUCUAAAUCACUUAGUAGUGUGUGGGUUUAAUUAUAUUCACAUCUAGGUAAAAUAUAAUUGAGUUGACUCAAAGAAUAAAUUAAAAUAAACAAUGUUACAUUAUCGAAAUUAUGUAAAAGGAGAUGUGAUAUUAAUUUAGUGGUUAGAAUGGGAAAAAAUAAAGAGUAAAGUGAGAGAUUAUAUUCACUAUAUAACAUUGAUAUACAUUUGUCACUACUGGAAAAGCAUAGUUAUGUAAGAAGACAAGAAAAAAUAUAUAACUAAUAAUAAAUAUUUCUCUAAUAUAUCACAUAUUUCUCAACUUGGUUAUAAGAAAAUAAUAAUAAUAAUAAUAAUAAUAAUAAUAAUAAUAAUAAUAAUAAUAAUAAUAAUAAUAAUAAUAAUAAUAAUACUUAUUAUUAUUAUUAUUAUAAUAUCUCAUGUGAUUCUUUAAUUUGAUUUUAAAUAAUAAUUUAGUUUUUUUUCUUCUAAGUUGAUCUUUUAUUUAAUUUUAAAUAAUAAUUUAAUCUUUUAUGUCUUAAAAUAUCAACAAUGUUAUCAUUUUUUUUCUAUAAAUUCAUAAAACUUAUCAUCAUUUUCAAAUAAAAUUCAGAAAAUUCAUUAUCAAUUUUAAAAAAAUUCAUAUAUUCAUCGAAUUCAUAACUCAAAUCUUCAGAUAAAUUCAUAUUUUCAUCUUCAACAACAACAUUAAAUCUAUCAAAUAAAGAAGUCACACUUUAAGAUUUGAUCUUCAAAUCAUCAAAAUAAUAUCUUUUUUUUUUCUUUCUAUUUUUCUCCAAAUCACUAAAACAAUAUCUUUUUCUUUUUCUAUCUAUUUUUUUUUUCCAAAUCACCAAAACGAUAUCUUCUUUUUUUCUUUCUAUUUUUCUCCAAAUCAAAUUAAUAACUUAAAUAUUAAAAUAUGAAUUAUUUAUUUGAGUGUUAAUUCUGUGUUGGAGUACUAAUUCCUCCAUGUUUUUCCUAUUUUCAUUGCUAUUUGUUUAUUUCUAUUGUCCUUAUGACCUAGAAGUUUUUUGCUUGCUAUUCCACCACCCCUCGUUGGAACUCCAACAUCCAACACCAUCACUAUAUAUGAACCACCACUCAUAACCAUGGCUAAUUUGGUGCCCUUACCCCCACCACCUCCAACAGAUCUGAUAUUAGCUCAUCCUCCAUCACAUCUUCAAAAGUGUUGAAAAUUUUGGAACACUAUAUAUAUUAUCUUCAAAGGUAAAGGUGACUAUCACUAUUAUUAACUCCUCCUCAUCAAUCAAAUCACUAUCAAAUUUAUGAUUAAUUAAGACAAAUUUGAGACCAUGUUUAGUCCUUUAGAGCUUGAAGAAGAAGAAAAAAUAAUUAGUAAAAUGAUAGAGAUAAAUAUUUUAGUCUUAAUUUAAAACUAUUGACUUGUCUUUGACCAUGUUUGAAAAAUUUUGUAUAGUAAAAUUAUAGGAUGUAAAUUAAUCUUAAUUGGAUAUUGCCUAUUUGCUUUUUUUAUCUUCGUAAUGUUUUACUGUAAAAAAAAAAAAGAAUAUAUAUAUAUAUAUACUUAUUCAUUAUUUUAUCUAUCUCUAUUAAAUAUGAAUUGAACAGGCCGUCAGUUAUCUCACGUGAUAACCAUAACAUGUCAAAAUUUGCUUUUGCAAUUUUGGGGAAAAAGACAACUAUAUAAAUGAAUAUUUUGCCAUAUCACAUGGACAAUCAUAUAUAUAAGGGGAAAAACAAAAUAGUUAAACUCAAACGGUUAUUCAACUUUUAUUGAAAUCGAAUUGAUAAGAAUACUUGAGUUUAAUUUCUAAUUGAGUUAAUCGUUAAUUAAACUUUACACACCAUUUUACUCAAAUUAGCAACCUUUCUCUUAGUCUUGUGUAUCGGAAGAUUAAAAAAAAAAAUGUGUACAAAGAGCUUUUUUUUUUGUCCAAAAUUUGUACAUGGAGCUUAGCAUUAUUUCAAUUUUUCUUUGCAUACAAAUUCUGACUUCCACCACAUACCACGUUUUACAUGCGUCAUUCAAUUGAAGGUUGAUGACGUACUAUCCACUAAUGAAAGUUCCUAGAAAUUAUUAACACUUUUUGCUUUACUCAAUUAUUAACACAUGCUCAACAAAUAGUUUCUUCCAUAUCUUCAUUUAUAUAAAAGCAGAGUAAGUUUGGUGGUUAGAAUAUAUAAGAGAUAGAUUUCAUAUUACUGAAUAUAUUUAUCGUAUUAUAUAUUUGAUAUUCACAUAAUAAUAACAAUAAUAAUAAUAAUAAUCAUAAUAAAUGGAAUAAUUUUUUUUUUGUAUUUAUCUUAUUGUGACAUGAUAGAAUUUUGAUCAUAUUAAAAUGAAAAAUUAUUCUUGUAAGAUAAUUAUAUAUAUUAUUUCCAAAUUAAUUUAUAACACUUUUAAGUUUAAUAAGUUAAAAAUAAUUACAUAAAUAAAUAAGAAACAAAAUAAUUUAUAUUUCAAAUAAAUUCAUUGACACGGCUAAAUAAACAAUAUCAAAAUUUUAAAAAAUAAAUAAUAAAUAAUUAGAUAUUUUUAUUUAUAUGUUAGAUAAAUUUAUAAAUAUAUUAUAUAUGAGUGAGUUUUUUUUAUAAACCACCUUUAUAAAUGAUCCAUUAUAGAUUGAUACAUAAAAAUCAUCAAAAAUUAUAAUGAUAUUUAAUAAUAUUUUAAAAAAAUAAUAGCUUGUGAUUUUUAUUGUCUUUAUAAUUAAGACAGUGAGUAAGUGAGUAAUAUGAUUGUUGUCAAUUUAAUACAAAAUACAUAUUUAUUAUUUAUGUUUUUAUAAAACUAAUAUGAAAAACUUCCAUAAUAAAAUUAAUAAAUUCAUGAUUAGUCAAUAUUAAAAUAAAAAGUCGCGUCUUAUCCGGGUCCAAAGUUUCUUGUAAGAUUGUUCAAUUAUUUUGAACUUAUUACUUUAUAUAAGUUGGGUGUUCUGCAAAUUAUUGUUAGGUCUAAGGUAUCAACCUAGCAGAUAUUCUUUUUCUUCUAUAACGAUAUGCUUUUGCGUGAUUUUAGAUAUCUAAAAUAAGUAUAGUUAAUGUAAAUUUGUUACAUGUGCAUCAAAUAAUUAAUACUAGUAUCUCAUUAUAUAGAUAUUUAUAAAAUUAUUUUAUGUACUAGCUAGAUAAUAAAGUGAUAUUACUUGAACUUAUUGAAGGCAUGCAUAAGAAAAAUAUACCCGUUUGUUACAGCUUUUUUUUAAAAAUAAUUUUUAUAGUAUUAUUUCUUUUUGUUACAGUUUUUUUUUAAAUAAAAUUUCAAAUGAAAAAUAAGUUUAAAUGGUUUAUUUUAAAAUAUUAUUUUAAAUAUUUCAUCUAUUUAUUAAAAAUACUGAAUAAUAAAGUUUAAAAAAUAAUUAAAAUGAAAAGUUAUUUUAAAAUUUUUUUCAUAAAAAUUAUUUUUGAGAGAUAAUUUAAAAAAAAAAUGAUUUUUAUUAUGUAAAAAAUAUCUAAUAAUGAAUAUUUAAGUUAUUGAAUGUCAAAGUUAAUUUUUUUACUCAAUAACAAAUGAAUACAAAAUAACUUUUAUUAUUUUUAAGUAAUUUUUUAUAAAAAUUAUUUAAAAAAUUAUAAAGUCAAAAUCACUUUUUAAAAAAUCUAAGACAAACUGGUUUAAUGAUGCUUUUGCAUGCUUUUAGAUUAUCUAAAAAAAAUUACUUUAUAUAGGUAUAGUUAAUGUAAAUUUGUUACAUGUGCAUCAAAUAAUUAAUACUUGUAUCUCAUUUGAUAGAUAUUUAAAAUCAUUUUAUGUCCUAGCUACAUAAUAAAGCGAUAUUAUAUCUUCAUCUUAUUAAAUGCAUGCAUUUUUUUUUUACAUAUACUAUUGUUUAACAACAAUUAAUUUUAAAAUUUUAAAUAUGCAUUUAGUUCCAACAAAUUAUGUACCUGUUUUAGAUUUUAGUCCCUAUAAGAAUAUCUUAUUUGUUAAAUUACACUUUGGGUCUCUUAAAUAAUUUUAAAAUUUAUUUUUGCUCUCUUAACUUUUUUUCUUUUUAUUUUGGUCUCUUGUGUUAUAGACAUAAGUGCUUUUUUAAUUAUUAGGAGAUUUUCCAAUAUGAUCUUAAACAAAAAAAAUGAAUACAAGGGAUAUUUAAACUCAUAAAUAUAAAAAUAGAGGUUCGAACCCAUCAUCAUAAUAAAUAUAAUUUAUCUAUCUUACGAUAAAGGAUGCUAGAGUAUUAGUGCUCGAAAGUCGCACAACAAAUAAAGACCAAAUUCAACCUUUAACUAAUUUUUUAAAAUAGAUCUUUAAACAUUUAAAUUUUGUAAUUAGGACUGUCGUGAAAUUUUAAAUAUUUUUUUAUUUGAUAAAAGUGAAGAAAAUGGGGAACUCACCCAACUCCAUGUGAAAUAUGCAAGUUGAAAGGAACUCUGCAAAAUACAAAAAGCUUUUAUAACUUAAUUGACAUGUUUUCCAAGAAUAAGAAUUGCAUGGUGUAUUGUUAAUUAAUGUGUUAGUUUUAAAGGUUGGCAACCCAGUUAAAAGAAUAUCCUGAAAUAAUAAUGAAGCUCAUGAGAUGGAGAAACAGUUUGGGCCAUCCAAACCAGAAGAAGCAUCAUUGGGCCUCACAAGCAAAGUUCCUCUGACCACAUGGGACUUUUUGUCAUAACUAUCAAGACACAUUUAUGUUAUUAUGCCUUGUAGCUUCUUUAUUCCCACAAGCAAAAUAAACUGUACAAACGUUAAACCAAAUGUCCCUUGUUUACUUCCAAUAUAUCAAAUAGAAAAAAGUAAGUGUUAAAUAAAUAUUUAAUCUUUAUAAUGUUUACAUUUUUUGUUUUUUUUUUUUUUAAUAAUCUCUCUUUAUAAUGCUGUGGUACUUGAUCUAUAUAUAAUUAUUGAAUCAACAAACAACAGAGUUGGUUUCUUGAUACCCAAGUUUGGAGGAAGAUACUCCCUCCCUAAAAAAUUGAUGUAUUUUGCCUAGAAUAUAAACCAAAUACAUCAAUAUUUUUAGCCAAUUUUUGCAUAUAUUUUGAGAUAAAAAGAGUAUUAAUUAGCCAAAUUGUCAAGCAACUUCUCAUUUGCUUAUAUUUUGAGAUAGGAGUAUUAAUAACAAACUAACCACCUUAUAUUUAACUCUAAUCAACUUUUACUAUAAAUACUCAAUGAUGAACAUGUGUUUGAGUCUUCGAGCCACAGUUCAAUUUUAAUUAUAAAAAUAUUUAAAAUGUAAAAUAGGACCAGUGCGCUUUUGUUUUUGAGCAUUUGAGAUCAGAUACCAUAUUUCCAAGUUAGUACAUCAGUUGCAUCUUUCAGAAUUUAAUAGCUGAUGAAAUAAAUCAAACAUGUAAAAGUACCCUUGUUUUUUUCAAGUGCGUAAUGGCUAGAUUCACAUUUUAAACGUGUAGUGAAAAAUCUCAGGUUCAAACCUUAACCACCGCAUAUUAAUGCCUUUGCAACUACUAACUAAGUUGUAAUUAAGAAACACUAUUCUACGAGAUGAGGGAAAGGAAAGGACCAGCCUGGUGAAUAAAUUCUAUUUACCAAUAGACACUUCAAUUAUUACACAACACAACCUAACAAAUGUUACAUUAUUUAAGGCCAUAUACUAUAUGGUCCCAACCGAAAAUCAUUCAACACAAUUGUAAUGGUACACUAUUCAGUUUACGGUUACACGACAUAAGAGACAAGAAUAAAUUAGUAUUGAUGUUAGGUUACUUACUAUCUUCAACCAGAAAUACUAUGAUCCCUUUCAUCUAAAAUAACAUGUGAUUCUAUCAAAAUAUGAUCUAAAGUUGGAUAAAAUAAAUAUGCAUAGACUUACCAUAAUUGUUUUACUUAAUACUAUGCAUCUCUUUACAUCACAAAAAGUACGCAUAAGUUUAAUACAGAAACACUUUAACUAGUUCAUUACCACAUUCAAAUACAAAUUACUCAAAUAGAAUAACAAUUUUCUUGAAACCCAAGUUAUUAUUAUAGCAAAAUACAUAACCAGGUAAACUAAGGAAACAUUCUUCUGCUAUAUCAGAUGAUUCCUCAGUUCAAUACUGCAAUACACCCUGCAAACAAAGUCAUGAUUUAUAUCUUAAAUCAGAGUGAAGCAACAAAAAAAUGCUGCAUAAUAUCGGAAAGGUUAUAGAUAGAUAUAGAUAUAGCUUACUUUGGUACAGUUAUUCUCAACCGCCUUAGUCCUUAGCGCAUGGCUUGAAUGGAAGGUCCAGAAUUCAAUUGAGAAGUGAUAGUAGAGGCAACAGCAGCUUCUUUAUUUGUAAUGUUCGUGUCGUCGGUUAAUGAAAACCCAAAGAGUCUGCAGCCAGUUUUACAUGACGAAACCAUAUCUUGAUUGCCUCUCGGUAUUGCAACUGAAUCGUGAAGCCUUGAAUUGUUGGACUGAUUAUUAAUAUUGUUAUUAUUAUGAAAAUCAUGCAUACCAAAAGGAUUUGUGCCUUCCUGAGCUAGUCCACUAGAGAAAAUAGGUUUGUCGGGUAGUGAAGGCGUGAACAUUCCAUUUUUUGCUUCGGAUAUGUAUGAGCCUUGGUAACGGAGUUUAUUGUCCUUCUCCUGAUAGCGAUUAGUGUUAUCAAAAUGAGAGUUUGAAACUGGAUUAACAGCCUGCUGGAACAUUAACACAGAUGAUGGAGAUGACACCUGUCCAGAUGUAACGGAUGCAUGCAAAUGUGAAGAGUUGUCGUGCAUCUGCGCAGGCCAACCAUUUCUGGAGCCGAGCAGCUGAUAACCAUCGUAACGUCCAAAGCAACCAUUUCCACGGGCCUCGUCAAACGCGGCUCUCCCGUAGGGUGGACACGGAAAAAUUUCUUGACCUUGCAAGACCUUUUGGAAUCGGAAAGAUUCACCAAAGCCUACGCCAUUACUGGAAAAAUCAGAAGUCACUUGUGGCAUUCUGAUAUUUCCUGUUGCAGCUAUCCCGGAACAGUUAGAACCGGGAUAGCACCUCCCUAGCUCAAAUAACCGGGGACUCUGAGCAUUAAUACUUUCAUAAGGAGUAUUAACACCCAUAAUUUCUUGACCUUGCAAGACCUUUCGGAACCUCAACGAUUCCCCAAAGUCCGACACACCAAUCCCAUCUGUCAAAGUAACAAGUUGUGUCAAUAUUGUUGCAUGAAGAUGAGGUAAGAAGGUACUUAAAUAAAAUUUUGAAAAAGUUUUCAGUAACUUACUGGGAACUGGAAAUUCUAGCUUUCCUGAAGUGAAUCCAAUCCUACUCCUCUUCAAACUAGCUGCCAUCAGGUUACUGGAAGUGGAAGCAGAACCAGAUGGCUCAAUUUCCCAAGGGGAAACCCUGUUAUGCCUUGAUGCUUCUAUGUCAUCCCACCUCACCUAUAAGGAAGAGAAACAACAUAUAUCACUAUCAGCUCGUAGAACAGUAGUAAUGAAAAUCGAUUUGUUAGGAUUGUUCGAGCUUAAUUUACAAUAAGGAAAAGCAAGAAAGAAGUAGAUGUGUAAACUCUAUUAAUAAAAAAUAGAGACCAAAUAAAUAAAAAAUGGACAAUAAAGCUUUAUCAAAAAAAUGAAAGCAGAAAUAAAUUGUUUUGCCAAAAAUUAGAGCAGUAUCGCUAUUACGCUCCUUGUAGGUCCAAAUCUAACGUGAAAAAUAGUAGUAAGUACUAGAAAUGCAAAACUAAUAGGUAAUCAGGAGAAUCAUUAGCUGCAAAUCUCAGGAUGAACAUCGAGAUUGCAUCUCUCAGAAUGAGCUGAGAAUAUAUCAAAAAAGUUAAUAUCAAACCUUUUAAAUUAGAAUUUAAAUUAGAUUAUAACACAGACAGAUAGACAUGACCCCUAAAACAAUUUCAUGAAGAAAAAUAAUAACACGCUAAAAUUAGAAAGACGCAGCCGCAUACCAAUAGGCAUUUCCAUUUUGAUCCUGGCCAUCUAACAGGAUCCACAUCACUUAUUCCAGCAAUUAAUCCAGUGAAUCUGCACAUUAAGAAAUUAAUACAAGAUCAGUAAUUGAUAGGUCAUUAAUAUGUAACGAGAACAAAUGUAACAAUCAAGAAACCUUCGUUCUGCAGCAUCUUCGGUUUCAAAACGCAUCCUAAACCUCAUUCCAACAGAAUAAGAACAAUCAAGGCUCUUCAUGAAUUUGUUGACAGGUAUGAUGAAUUCUGAAGAACUGACCCUGCUAUGGAAAGGUGAUAUAUAUAAGGCACAAGAUAUCCAUAACAAUUUACACACCAUGGCGAGCAACAAAGAUAUAACAAUGGAAAGAGAGGAAGGGGUUUAAGCAGUGAUAAUACUAAAAUUAAAAUAAAAAAUAAAUGACACUAAAAGUAGAGCUUCGAGUAAAAAACUUUGAAUGCAUGGAAAUAAUGAACAAUGGGCCUGACUUUUAUUUCUGUCCCAUCUCAUGCAAAGAUAAAACACCAUAAAAAUGUACAUAGAAAACUGACAGGUUUACAGACUAACUUCACCACAUGCUGUGGAAAGUACAAAUAACAAGAAAAGUAAGUACCUUGGAUUAUAGCAAACACUGAACGCACAUCUCUUCGACAAAGCAUUCACAACAUCCAUGAGAGAGCCAGGAUCCAAUUGCAGACCAGAGGGAGCAGCAAAGGAACCAGAACUUUUCAACUGAACAGCCCUUCGAAUCCCCAAUCUCAAUUCUCCAUCCGCACCUCUAACAUCAAUUAAAAAAUAAAAAUGUUAGUCAUGGUUAGGAAUGAUAGUACUAGUUAACAUUUGAUAGAUUUCAGAUAAUGAUACCUAAGAAACAACACGGCAUCGCCGGACACUAGCUUCUUCUUGUUCACAAAUGCACUCCACCCAGUUGUGAGCAAAUGCCUCCUUGGCUGCCCUGCUCGCAUGAACAUCGGAAAUUAAACCCCGAAGCAGUCAAUAGGCAAUAUACAUAGAGUAAAGUAAAGUAAUGUAAAGUAAUAUAUAUAUAUAUAUAUAUAUAUGUAUGUAUAUAUAAGUGACAUACCCCUGUAUAUAUGUCGAAACCUCCACUCCAGACCAUGCAAAUCCUUGGCUACCAGCUCUUGUGAAGGUCUUUGCAGGCUGUAAUCCUAGAGUAAUAGUGGACUUUAAAUUCAAAAUGCUACCAAAGAAAUAUCCAAGCAUACAUAAGAAAUUUAAAUCAUGACAGAAAGCACAAUUCGAAGUCGGGUGAGAUCACCGCAUUGCAAAACAUUUAUAUGACAGAAAGUACAAUUCGAAGUCGGGUGAGAUCACCACAUUGCAAAACAUUUAUUUGACAGAACGCACAAUUUGAAUUCAGGUGAGGUCACCACGUUACAAAACAUUUAUAAGAUUACUUUCAAGUGUAACAUAUCAGAUAAGGAUGAAUAAAAUGAAAAUUUUGAGUAGGAUCCCUUUGACAAGAGAAACAAAUACGUCAAUAGUGAAACUUACCAGGGGAGGAAAGCAAUCUUCAGCUGCUCGACGAGGCACUGAGAAUCCUCCAUGAGUGCUAGUGUCAGAAGCUGUGAGAGUCUUGCAGAACAUAUGUGGUGUUGUUGACUUCACCAAAGCAUCAGUAUCCUCCUCUUCUGCAUCAGCAUCAAUUUCUCCUUCCCGAAUGUUUUGCUCCGCUUGCUAAAAUCAAAUUUCAAGUUCAAACAAAAUCAAACUUAAAAUCUUUUAAAAAAGGCACUACAUUUAAUAUGCAUAAUAUUUUUUUUCUCUUUCACUCCCAUAAUGAUGCAAUAAGAUACAAUUACGAUGCACUUGUGUUUCUCUCUGGCGGCGCGGCUGACAUACACAUUGACGUAGACAGAAAACAAAAUCAUGUAUAACCAUAUAAAUUUGUUAUUACACUUUUGAUAUCUUGAGUAGAUACUUGACACACUGCUACAUUAAGCAAAUUUAAGUAAAAUCCAAUACAAGUAACCUCUUCACUUAAAUUUUCACUUGACCUCAAAGAGACUAAGACUAAAGCAAAUUCCAACAUCGAAGUUGAGACAUCUAUCCUUCUUCACAACUUACUACAAACCUAAAAUCUGAACCAAAAUAAAAUGAUAUCAUAGAUAAACCUCACCUGAUUUUCAGGAACCAACGAGACUUGGCAAUACACUUCAUCACUCCCUUCCUCUGCCUGCAAAGAAAAAGCACAAACAUUUCAAUAAAAAAUCAAAAUCCACAGUUCCCUUAACACAUUACUCAUCCAAAAGAACAAUAAACAAGCAAAAGCAGCAUUACAGUUUACUCAAACAAAAAGGGGGAAAACAAAAAAGGGUCACUCAUAAUCAUACAUAAAUUGUUAAACUUGGAAAGUAAUUAAAGAACCCUUUUCACUUAAUCAAUUUUCCCACCAAGAAGACAUAAAAAAAAACACAAAAACCAAAACCCCAGAAGAAAAAAAUAAAAAAUUUGGGGAAAAUAAGAAGAGAAGAAACAAGAACACUUACAUGGAGCUUGACAUCAAGAACACGACAGAAAACAUGAGGUGGAAUAUUACAAGCAGGAACAGGAAAAUCCUGAGCUUGUUCAAAGUGUCCUUGAGGAACAUACACAACAAUGCUUCCUUUCUUUGGAAGAGAGAUCAAAGGGCCAGCACAAGCAUGCCAUAGUUCCAAACAAACAGAAGGUUGAGGAGGAACCAUAGCCGAAGCAGAAGUGCUUAUACCAGAGUGAGAAGAAGAAGAGGAAGAAGAAAUAGCUGAAGAUGGAGUUUCAUCUUCCUCAGUAGUGUUAAGAUCGAUUAAACCCAUGUGAAACAAGGUUGUGUUAGCAAUGUUAAGGAAUCUUUGAACAAGUGGGUAUGAUGAUGAAAAAGAAGAAGAAAUUUGGAGGGAGAAGAAGAUUUCAUGACUGCAUUUUGAGAGAGUGUGUUGUUGAGAGUAACUUUGGCAUUGCUAAAAGAAGUUGUGACCCCAAUACUCCAAAAAGAAAGAGACCCUCUUUCUCAGUUUCUCUCUCUUAACCUUUUCUCUCUCUCUCUCUCUCUCUCUUCCACUGAGUUAUCACUCUCUCAGCUGAAUUCCCUUUUGUUUCUUUUUUGGGUUUCUUUUAUUUUAUUACUUUAUAAAAUAUAAAAUAAAAUUGGCUAGUGAAUAAUGAGUUUGUUUAUUUUGGGGUAGCAUCAAACCAAGCUUUCAUUGUGAUUCAUAUAAAAAUGGGAUUUUUAUCCUCUUUUUUUUCUUUAUUAUUAUAAUAAUAUUUUUCUUUAAUAUUUUUUAAGAGGCUUUUGGUAGUGUGUGAGGUGAAGCAGGAACAGAUGCAGCAGUGGUGCAGUUGCUGCAAUGCUGAGACUGUUGGGUGUGAUGUGUGGCAGAGAGAGAAAGAAAGAGAUAGAGAGAGAGAGAGAGAGAAAUAUACAAGCUAGAAGAACAAAAGACUGUAGUAGUGGUAGUGAAAGUUAUUUGUUGGUUAAAAACCAAUUAAUUAAAUUAUUAAAAAAAAGUGUUUAUUUGAGAGUGUACGGUAUCCCUGUAUUUCCGGGCGGAUGUCUAUUCUGUCCCCUUCUACUUCAUCAAAUCUCACACCUAUCCUUCUCUUCUCUCCCAUGACAAAUUUUAAUUAGGUCAUCAUCUUCUGUUAUUACAACUAUGGAGAUUUUCUUUGUUGACCAUCAUCACAUUCAUUAUCUAAUAUCUAUAGAUCAUGCUCCCUCCAUCUAUCCACUUUUAGUACACUUCUGUUUAAUCAUAUAACAAAGACAAAAAAAACUUACUUUAACUUUACUUCAACUUUUAAAUAGUUCUUUUUUUUUUAAUUUGAUUUUUUAUCUUUUAAAAUAUUUAGAGAGUUCAACAACUUUACUCCUAUCCUAUUUCUAUUACAAAUUUAUUACAAAAAAUGUUAUUUGAUUAUUUAACAAAUAAAUUACAUAUUAAAUUCAUUGAGAUAAUGUAAAUUUUAUUUUAUUGUUAAAUUGAAAAAAUAACAAUAAGACAUCGUGAUUUUGUAAAUAAAAAAAAUAAUAUAUCUAAAAUUUUAGAUUAAAUUAAAUAUAUUGAUCAGGAUUAUUCCAUUAUUUUAUUAUAAUCGGUGAUGUUUUGUUGAUAAAUAUAUAUAUUGUCGAACACAAUUACAAUGCAACUAAAUUUAAAAAACUUUCAAGUUAAUUUUUUAAAUAGUUAAUGAAAUUUAGAUAUAUGAUUAAUUAUAUUUAAUAGAUAAUUAAUGUAUAUAUCAAAUAUUCAGAUUCAUUGAUCAUUGAUGUAAUUAUACAUUAACCAUAAAUUUAAAUGACAUUAACUAAAAUUCCUUUUUUUUAUUUAUAAAAAGGAUUAACCAUAAUUUUAGAUGUUCGACUAAAUAUAGAUUUAAAUACUUGAAAUUAUGAUUAACUAUAUAUAAAUUUAUAAUUAACGUACUUACUUUGAUAAUUAGUGAAUUUUAAUAUUUGAUAUAUCUAUAAUUUUUCGUGCUACUAUCUUAUAUUGUCGUUGCUAUUCAAUAAAUUAUAGGACUUUUUUCUUCUUCGUCUAUUAUAGAAUGAUGAUUUAUGAUUAUUUUAUUAUUGUCAUGAUUAUUUUUUGAUAACUAGUGUAUUUGUAUUGCAUCAAUGUACUUUAUCAAUUUGAAUGAAUUAAUAUUGUUAUUUUGAAGUAAAAAACAUUUGAUAUAUCAAUUUUUUCAAACACUUAAAUUUUGUUAUAUUUAUAGACGUGUUGCCGUUUGGUACUAUUAACAUAAGUGAUAUGAAUUUGCUCGCAAAUUCAUUAUUUUUUGUUUUAGUGAAUUUAUAUUGUAUCAAUGUACUUUAUCAAUUUGAAUGAAUUAAUAUUAUUAUAUUGAAAUAAAAAAUAUUUGAAUUUCGUUUUUUUUUUAAGAAGAAGAAGAGUCGAGCUCUAAAAAAAAAAAGAAAACAAAGCUAAAAGCAUUUAGAAAAGACAAUCAAACUCCCAUUGCCGAAAACACCAAUGGAGGAGAAAUAAAAAGUUACAUAAACAAUAUAGUUGGUCUAAGAAAAAGAAAUAAUGCAUUUAGCAAAAGUAUUUGGUGCUUGAUUGACUUUACAAUUGACAUCAAAUAAUUUAUAAAAGUGAUUCAACUUUACAAAUACCUCGUUUAUACGAAUAAUAAGGCAAUAACAUAUAUGUGUAUUGGAACAAUUAUUCAUAAUCAACAACUCCUCAGAAAAUGUCAUGUUCAAACUGUUAUAAAUAGUCUAAAGUUAUCUCAUCGAUAUUGUGCAUGCCUUAAAGCAUAGGACUAUAAUAUUUAUACUUUAAACAUCCACCGAGUAAUAUCAAACAAUUCAACACCGAAAAAAAAAAACGACACACUUAUAAGACAGUUAUUAAUUUGAUAUAUCUAUUAACCACACAUAAUAUAAUUAAUUAUAUAUUUGAAUAGCGUUAGAGAAUUGCAGUUAUAUUAAUAUUAUAAAGUUGUUCAAAAAAAAAAUUCAGUUAGAAAUGACACAAGUGUUGUUGACAUGCAAUGAGGCGUCGUUUACUUCAAAUUUUCGAAGUGAUCGUAUGUUGAUAGAUAGUACUAAGAAUGGCGUAUGUUAAUAUCUAUCUUGUUUUCUGUUGAUUCUGAGUCACGGAGGCACCCCUAUUACCCCUCAUAUUUGGCAGGUUUUGGUGGUUAAUGUGGACAAUUAACCAAAGUAUCAGAGACAAGUGCAAAAUAAAUAGGUUUCGAUAUGGAAAGUUGCAUAAUGUUUUUAAGCAUUUAUCUUUUUCAAUUUUGAAACGGCUAAUUAGUUUUGCCCACUUAAGUUUUGACUUUACCAUUAGGGUCCUAUCAUCAUAAUUAUAACUAGCUCUUAACUUAGACAAAAAGUAAUGACAAUUUUAUAUCACUCUGGCUAACCAUUUAUGCAACUAUAUGGUAAAUAAAUGAAUUAGCUUUAUCACUUUAUAGUCUAUAGAUCAUAAAGUCUUUGAGGCCCCUCUUUUUGUAAGUUUGGAGUUAUUUGCUUCUUUAAAUUAAUGACACGUCAGUUUAAUCAUUGAUGUCCAUACUCACACCUUACUUCCCUUAUGCCUCCCUAGUCCCUACUACGAAGAAUUUUAUUUUUAUUUUUAUACUAAGCUACAUGUAACGCAGCGAAUUUAUUCUCUUGUUUUAUAUCGACAUCGUUUUUAAUUAAAUGAUCAUAACAAAGUUAUUUUUAUGUAAAGUUAUAAAAAUAGUGUUUUUUUUUUCUUUUCUGAAAAUAUUGUUAGUCAAGCCAUAAUGAUAUGCAUGAAACGAUGAAAUCAUAAACAAAUAUGUCAUUCGUAUCAUAAUUGUUUGUCUACGUCCUACCUACUCAACACUUGUUCAAAUAUAUUUUAAUUUUCAAUUGCUUGCUACUGCCAUUAAAUGAUUUUUUUUUUGAACUAAUAUUAUCGGAUUUAAGAAUAUUUAAAUCUUAAAUUAAAGUAAUUGCGAAAUUUGUCUUCAUCUCAGUAACAUAAAAUCAACUGAUAUGAUUAUAAUCUUAAUCUUAUCUUAAUAUCUUAAUUUUAUUUCAACCUUAAUCGUGAUAUUCAUUUUAAACUGUGAUAUUUUUUAUGCAUGUCAUUCAAAUAAUUCAUACUGGCACAUCGCCAUCUUAAAUCACUUAUUGGUAAUGGUAUUAGCCUUGUCUUAUUUUAUAUUAAUUUUAAUUAUCUCCUUAAACCUAUAUUAAUUAUAAAUCACGUGAAGCUACAUCCACAAAAACAUCAAUAAAAUAAUAAUACUUCGUAUAAUUUAUAAAUUUGGAUAAUUUUAAUUUCAUCUUAAUCCGAAAGUCAUAUUUUAAUAAUUUAUAUUUUAUUUGAACCAUAAUAAAUUUUAUUGUCAAAACUCGUCGAGAAAAAAUUAAAUUAAAUUUUGAAAAUACGUAUUAGAUUUACAUUAAAGUGUCGAGCCACACUAAUUUUUUUUUUUUUUAAGUUUUAUCCACUAGACAAUCUUAUUCGAGUAAAUGAUGUGGUUAUUAUUAAAAGUAUGGUAUUUUAUUAUUUUGAUUUUUAACUCAAUAAAAAAAUUAAAUUAAUUAUUAAAUUAUUAAAAUAACAAUCAAUCUUAUCUCUAACAUUAUAAAUAUUAUUUUUAUAAUAAAUUAUAUUUUUCAAAUAUUUUUCGUAAAAUAAAAGAUGUUGAGUCAAAAAUCAAAAUAAUAACGACUUUUAUUUUAAGAGAUUAAAAUAAUAAUUUAUUUUAAAUUAAUUUAAUGUAUUAGUCCACGUGUGAGUUUGUCCUUUCACUCCCAUUUUUUUCACUGCAAAAUCCUUUCAUUGUCCACUAAUUUUUUUUAGGUUCUGCAUCUUUCUUUCUUCUUCACAUAGUUUGCAUUAACAUGUUGUCUUUGCGAUCCUUUUGUGUUUGGUGUGUUCUUGUUGUGUCCAAUGUAAAGGGAAUCAACUUAAAAUUCAAAUGAAUCACAUAACACAGUUGAGAAGAACAUAUGUCAUCCCAAUAUUUGGAGGUAUAUAAACGAAUUUUUCAUGAUAUAUGGUAAGAAUUGUUAGAUAUCAAGUUAUUUCAAGCAGAUUACCUUAGACUAUCAUGUUAUUCUAUCAAUUUCAAAAUACAUUUAUAAAAAUGAAAUGAUGCGAUAAAAUAUUAAAUUUAUUUAUUGAAUGUCGGUAUAAAUCUUGUUUACACUAACAUAAUGUAUACUUUAAAUCCUUUCACAAAUUAACAUUUGCAUGAAGAGAUCUAAUUAAUAAAUAUUUGUAUAAAACUUUUUUAAAUCAACAUGGUUAAUUAAAUAAUUAUUAUAUUAUAUGCUAAUAUGAAGUCAUUUAUCGCCAUAUACUUUUUGUGUUAACUUAAAAGUAUUUAUUGAUAAUUUUUUCAGUGAUUUAUCUUCACCAAAGAACUCAAUUGAUCAUUUUCAACAAAAUCUCCUCUCUCAUCUUUUUUUUUUUCUUUCAUUUAUAAGACUUGUACUUGAGAUAUGAUUUAAAUUUUUUUGUUUUAAUCUUAAUGAUAUUAUUUAUCUUAAUCCAAUGUCAAAACUAUAUUCAGUGGCAGAAUUCGAAUAAAAAUUUGAGAAUUCUAAAAAUUUUAAAUUAUUAUUUAUAAAUCAAACGCAUAAUAUUAUAUUACAUAUUUAAAUAUGAUUUUGAUCAUUUACUAAUACAUCCCUUUUUAUAUUUGUCUUUGUUGAGAAGUUAAUAUUUCAAGUUAGUUUUAGGUAGUUACUUGUAAUAGAAGUUAGUUGUCAAUAUUUUGUUUUAGUUGUUUUGUUAAUAACAAGUUAGUUUGUGAGUCAAGCUUGUAACAAAUCAAUGUGUAUAAAUGUAGAGUUUCAAUGAUCAAUAAUAUAAGUGAAUUGAUUAAAGAAAAUAAUCUCAAUAUCCUCUCUCUUUCUUUUCUAAUCAUAAUCCUAGUAACCAUUCAAGAACAUUCAACAAGCUGUUGCAAGCUCAUAGUGAAUUAGUUGAGUGUCCAGUCUUGACAAGUUGUUUGACUUAUUCCAAAAGUCUUAUGUUAAUGUUAAUUUCUAUAAAAUUUAUUCAUGUUAAUAUUAAUUAGUCUCUAAAAUAUGUUACGUUAUUCAUUUUAAUCGUUGUAUAGUAAUAGUAGGGGUUAAAAUCAUAUUACAUUGAUAAAUGAUAAAAUAAAAAUUAUUUUAUUGACUAAAAAUAAACGAUAAGAAUCGGUAGAAAAAAUUGUAUAUUUAUCAGAAAUAAAAUAAAUUAAAAAAAAAAAGUGAUUAUAAUAGGUCCAAAAUAUAUUUAAAAUUAUAUUGUACAUCAAAUUUAAAUUAUAAAUUCGCAAUGAAAACAUAGCAAAUUAGUAAAUGCAAUCUUAGAGGAAGACGGAGAAUCAAACGGAAAUACUACACGUGUAUGAAAGAAAUGAAACUCACAUCACAUAGUUAAGGUCUAGACAGGAGGGUAUGUAGUGUAUUCUUUUUAAUAAAUUUUCGCUAUAUGUUAAUAUUUUUAUAGUUUUCCCUAUAUGUUUUUUCAACAACAAAAAAAAAAAAAUUUCACUAUAUGUUAAUACUUAUACUUGACGUUAUAAAAGAAAUUCCACAGACCUUUUAUCAAAUUUAUGGGAAUAUAAUUUUCAUAAUGUUAUUUUAAAAAUAUGGAAACAAAUUAAGAGAUGUUUGAAUGAGCAAAUUAAUCAUACUGGCAGUAGUAAUUAUUUUGGCAGAACUUAUAAAUAAAGUAGCAGCAUUGAUCCAAAUAAAGGAUGAAAGUGAACCCGGCAAGGAAUUUGGGUACCAUGUUUGCACACUUUGCUAUAGGCAAUUUUCAUCAUGUUUUUGUUCCUUCCAUUUUGAGAAGAAGGGUAGAUAUGUAAAUUGCGCAUAAAAAAAUACCAUAACAUAAAAUAAAGACCCACCCAGUGGCAGUAAUGAAAAGAGUGAGGUCUUUAUCAGAAACCAUCAAUAGCGAAAAACCCAAAACACAGCCUCAGAAACAAACAGUAGAUUAGAGGCAGGUCUAUAAAUUAAGGACUCAGUCAGUGAAGUUGUGAAUGUGGGCCCUACCAUUAGUUGGAUAACCCGGACAAAACGGGUUACCACUCACGGUCUAACCGGUUAAACCGCUGCAUCGUGCUUUUAUCCUAAUCUGGAAAGUCGAAACACUUUUUAUUCCACGCUCCGAAGGAAGGAGCGCGUGUUUCUUUUAAUUAAUUUUUUUUAAUUGUUGUGCAAAAAUAUCUAUGAUAAUAGGUUGGAAAUGUGACAAAAGUAUCUAUAGAGCCAUGUUCCAUUGAUAUGUUGCUAGUUGAGUGCUCCUUGAUUUCUCUAACGUCACGUAAUAUAUCUCAUCCUUAACUCUUAAUGUACUCCAUUAUACUCUUUCUCUAACUAUCAUUUAAAUUUAAAUUUUUGCAUUAGUAUUAACAAAUACAAUAAUUAAAAUUAUAUUUAAAUAUUUAAAUUGUUACGUAAGUUUAUAGAUUUUUUAUUUUUGUUUAUGUAAGUUUUUUUUUUUAAUUUAAAUAUCUUAAAUUUAAUUUAGUUUUAAAAUCAUCUCUAUUGUAAAUUUUAUGAGACAGAGAGAGUGAUAUAAUAUAUUGAUAAAUAAUAAUUAUUAAUUAAAUAAUUAAUAAUUCAAUUGAAUAAAUUAAAUAAUUAAAAAAAUAAAAUUAAGUUUGGAGAUUAGAGUUUUCUUUGCUCUCAUUUUUUCUCUAUUUCUCCUUAUUCUACAAAACAAAAACAAAAAUUAAAUAUUAAACUCAAUAAAUGUAAAUUAUAACUACAAAGAGUAAAAAUAAAAAUCACAAAAUUGUUAUUUAGGGUUUUCAUUGUGUUAAAGAUAAAUAUACGCAUUGUUUAUCUGAAAAUCUCCACCUUUCAAAGACGAAACAAAUAUUAUAUCUUGAAAAAAAGAUAUAAAUCAUUUUUACCAAACUAUUCAUCUUAAUUAUUGAUCAAUUUUUAUCAUUAAAGUAUAAUAAUAUUUUAUAAAUUGUGCACCUAGUAAUUAUUGAAAAGUAAUAUAAAAAAGUUAAUUAAAAUCACAUUGAAAAUUAAUAAUAAAUAUUCAUUUUAAUAUAAUUUUUGUUGGUACUAAAAUGACAUUCAGACGGAUAAUUAUAUAUUAACACAAAUGCAUGUGUUUUAAAGUAGAUGUUAAAAAAUUAAAAAUAUAUAAAUUUUGUCAUUUAAUUCACGCAUUCUAGUUCUAACUCUUAAAAAAAAUUAAAAGUUACUAGUAAUUUUUUCUGAUACAUAAUUAUAUAUGCUUUUUAGAUUUCUCAAUAAGUGUACUAAAAUUGAGUUUAUAUCCUCUCAAAUGAUUUAUUUAUAUGAGAUAAUAUUAUAAUUAUUAAAUUAUUUUCUUAUUCUCUUUCAUAAAUUUAUAUUUAAGUACUCGAGGGAAUCUUAACUCACAAAAUAUACAAAUUAGCAAAACCAAUCAAUAUUAAUGUAAUAUAUAUAAUAUAAUUGAUUAAAAUGUCUAUGAAAAUAGUUUUAUUGGAGAACUUAAUGAUACUACAAUAGCUUUUAGGAGGAGAUUUUGAAAUCAAGCUUGAAAAAUUAAUAUAACUGCUAAUCUUUUUUAAACCACAAAAUAAAAAUAUGUAUAAAAUAUUAUAAUGUUGUAGUAAAACUAUAAAUAACGUAUUUUUUGAACAAAUAUUCCAUCUCUUUCAAAAAUUUAUCAAUUUUAUUAUUUCAUACGUAUUAAUAAAAGUCAAUUAAGUAAUAUAGAUAAUAUUAUUUUUUAUUAAAUUAACCUUAUCAAGUAUUGAUUUAUUUAUUAUUACAAUUAGUGUAAAAGGUACCAAAAAAAAAAAAAUGAAUCAUUCAUUUUAAAAGAACUAUUUUUAUAAAUGAAUCAAUUAUUGUAAGAUAGAAAAAAUAAUAUUUUAUAAGUAGGUAUCUACAAGACGUCAAAUAUAUUAAUCAUGAAUUAGAUAAUUUUUGUUUAAAAAAUUGCUAGUGUAUUAUUGAAAAUAACUUGUAAACAUUUUAAAAAUAUUUUUGUGUCUAGGUGUAAUCACUUUGGCUCUUUCAAAGGUGAAUGAAAAAUGCAUAUAUUUUUUAUAUACACGUAGUUUGCAUUACAUGUUUUUUUUACCCUUCAAUUCUCAAAGAAAAUAAUCACAUUGGUAAUAAAAUUUGAUUGAGAUAGUCGAGUAACGUUUUAGUUAGGUUUGAACACGGGUGCUUUUGAUUUGUUAUUAAUUAAAAAAAAAUCAUUAACCAAUCAAUUUUAAUCUUAUUAGUAAUAUAAUUUUUUUUUAUGCAUCACGUGUUACGAUUCAAAGUAAACGACUUAAACAUAUUUAAAGGAUUUUGAGGGCAAGCGUCUAAAAUUUAAAAUUUGAUUAUAUAAUAUACUAACGAUUAAAAUUUGUUUAAAAAAAACUUCACCUAUUUGUUUAAAAUUUGUACCCUAUAUUUGUUUUACCACUUUGCAAAAUUAUGAAAUGAAAAGAUAUACCUUAAAUUUGUACAUUGUAAGUUUGAUAUCUAAUAAUAUAAUUGAAAAUGCAGAACAUAUGUAAUUUUUUUAUAAAUAUUUAUUUAAACAUAAAUUAUUUUUUUACCUUAAACUCACACACCAUUCUUCAAUAGUACAAUACAAUACAAAUAUUAAGAAUAAAAGGUAAUGCAUAGAGAUAUCGUUAGAAAGCAACUUUUUUCAUGCUGAGUCUCAUACACUCAAAUUUCUAUAUACUCCAAUUAUAAGUUAUUUUACCAUAAUUGCACGACUUUAUAUUUUUUUGAAAUAUAAUGAUUGAAAGUGUAGGCAUGAGAAUAGAAUAUCUUGUAACUUUAUAUGCUUGUAUAUAAAUAAUGUCUUGUGAAUUAGAAUCCCAGCAUGUGACAAUCACAGAAAAAGCAUAUGUGCAUGCCAAAUUGCCCCAAAUCAUAAAAACACUUUCAGCCAAACCCUUAACCAAAGACACAUACAUGUUCCAAAUACAAACACCCUAAUCACUUGGCCCGCAAUCAAUUCAAUUCAAAGCUGCAAGCUGCAUGAUUUUACAAUACAUCACCCAACCAAACCCCACAUUACAUACACUAUCUCUCUCUAGUCUCUCUCUCUCAACAACUACUCUCACUAUAAUAUGCAUCUUCCAUAAACUCCUUCAUUUUCUUAUCUUACCCAAAACAAGGUCACUCCUCCACUCCAGUAACCGUGAACCGGGCCCACCACCUGCAAAGGGCCCAUUAAGCACACAAUAAAAUGAAAGCGCGUAGUUUGCACACGCCAUAAAGUGUAUUUGUGAUGGGAAGGGGCAGAGAGUUUAGAAAGAGUGAGGGAGCAGAAACCCUCGACUUUUACGCGGGUGUUGUCUCACUUUUCUCUCUCUUACACUUUCAUCGUACUUUAGUCGUGUCAUCCGUCUUAUCUGCACGCGCUCCAACGCCGUGUUUGGUACUGCCAACAACGGUUACUCAAUGUGGUUCGUGAUACACGUGUCAUGUUCUGAAGAGGUGGCCGUUGGUGAGGGGGUGUUUUGGUCAUUGUGUGUUUGGUGGGUCCUAGGUGGAGAGUUGCCAAAAGGAACUAGACCGGUCUUUGUCUCAAUCAGAGGGUGUCGGCUACCGUCAAGUGGGAUUGAAAAUCGAACGGUGAGGAUUGGUUGAAACUGAAUUAAAAGCAUCUUAGACCCACCCACUCUACUCUGUAUGGGAACGUGAUACCUGGAAUCCAGAGACCCCAAAAAGGAUGGAUUUUUCUGUGUUACGUGACACUGCACCCUCUGCCUCCUACUGCUCCACCUUUUUGGUGCGAGACUCACUUUCAUUUCUUUUUUAUUUUUUAUUUUUUUAUUUACUCAUUUUAUUAUUAGAUUAGAUCUAGUAUCACAUUGAUCAGGAUAAGUUAAAAUCAUACGUAUUACAACUUUACUAGUAAUCUUCCUUCUCCAUCUUUUUUUACCUUAACAACAUAUUACACAAGCGGUUAUUUACUUAAAUUAUCUCGCUAUUUAUUAUUUGAUAAAAUAGUUAAAAAGAAACUAAGUAUUUAUAUAUUAAAUAAAAUUUAUUGGUAAUUAACUUAUUAGUUAAUAGGUUAAUUAAUACAAAACAAUUGAAGUAUAUUUGUUAAACAAUAAAAAAAGAAAGUAAACACAUGUUUUGAGUGAAACAUUUCAUUUUGUAUAAAUUCAAAAGAAUUAAUUACAUAAAUUCUAAUAUUUUUUUCUUCUAUAUUUCUAUUCUUAACAAAUGUUAUUAGACACUUGUUAGCAUUUAAAAAAAAUAGAUGGUAGAGUAAAGAAAAACUAAAGGAAUAGCUAAACAUCAUUCAUAAAACAUGCAAGUCUCAAUCAUAAAAAAUGAGAUCAUGUAUCUCUUUAGGAGGGGUUUCUAUAAUGUAAGUUCUAUAAAAUAUAUGAAUUAGACUAAAGUUGCAUAGUCAAUUAACAUUUUUAUUUGUCUUCACGUAAUCUGUGAUUAAUUAAUAUGGACAUGCUUAAACCCAAAAAAUAUGUGAAGCGACGAACUAGCGUGGAAAUAGUUACGUUAAAAUUGCAUGUCUCUAUUAUCAAUUCUAUCAAAAAAUUUAAAUCGCUUUCCACAAUGAGAUAAGUGAUACUCUUUUUUUCUAGCCAAAUCCAGUCUAAUGAACAUGUCUCACAUUUAUGCUUGCGGAGCAUAAUACCUAAUCUUGCCAGCGUAACUUUUAAGCCAUCUACCAUUUGAAUUCUUUAGAAAACCUCUCCAACAUGAUAGCUCUAAAUAAUUAAUAUUUGUAAGCACCGUAAAAGUUUAGCUUGGGCUAUUCCUUUGGUGGACGUUUCCAACCUAUUCUUUUUUUAUUUCUAUUUACAAUUACAAAAAUUAAAGUAUUUUAAGAUGUUAUUAAAAAUAUUUAGGUCAAUCAGAUAUGACAUUAAUAAAUUUGUAUUUCGAAAAUUAUAACAAUAGAAUAAAUGAAAUGAUGAAAAAUUGAAAAUAUCAUAUCUCAAUAAGGAUGGAAUAAUUGGUACAUAAGUUGACUAAAAUUAUCCAUUUUAUUUUUAGAGAAGUGAUUAAAAUCACAUUUUCAUUUAAAAUAAUAUUUUUAGAAUUUUUUUUAAGAAUUAAAAAAAAAAGUUAUAAUAAAUAGGUUUAAAGUGAUUGUCAUUAUGAAAAAUAAUAAUAUUUUUACUCUAUCUGCAUCAUUUUAAGUGUUUCAUUUAUCUAUAUUAAAUUGUGUUAUUUUAUAAUAUUAAUUAUUUUUUAUUAAUAUAUAUUUAUUUAUUGUAUUUCAAUUCAUCACACUUAUCAACUAACUGUGAUCAAUAAAUGUAUUUGAAUAAAUAAAACUAAUUUUUUCAUCAAAAUCAACAAAACUAAUUAUUUUCUUAAAAAUUAUAUACAACUUAAAUUAAACAAAUUAAAAUGAGACAAAAAUAAUAAAAAUACUAUUAUCAAACGACUUUAAGAUAACACUAAAAAUAUAUAUACAAUUGUAAAGUUUUAAGUACGAUGUUGAAUGUAACUAUAUCAUAUUUAUGAUUUAAAUGAGAACUUAAAAAAAACGAUUUUAUUGAAUUGAUUCUUAUCUUAGAUAAGAGUUCUAUUCUAUACCGUUCUCUUCCCUAAAAAUAUUGUUGAUAGUUACUAUAGGUUUUCGUUUUUGAGAACAUUGACUAUUUAGUGUUGGUUCAAAUUGGCGAAGUAUAGUACACUGCAAUCCAAAGUCCAUCUAGAGGUCUAGGUGGGGCUCUCAUUGUCAGGGGAAACCGUAUUUGAGAAUUGAAUUUUACUGUCUCAUAUUUAAUAACAUGAUAAAAUAAAUAUAUCGAAAUCUAUAAUAGGUACAGAUUUGUUAAUUAUAGAAGUAAAUGGAAAAUAUGUUACUCUGAUUAAUAAUUUAAUAAAAACAAUAAUUUCAAUUAAUUUAACAAUUGAUUAUUGAUAUAAUAUAUUAAUAAUUAAAUAUACAAAAUUUUAUAUAAAUCUAAAAUUCGUAGUUAUGUAAUAUAAUUAUUAUUAUUUAUUAAUAUUUUUUCAAAGUUUAUUACAUAUUCAUUUGAAAUUAUUUUUAAAAUUUUAUAAAAAGGUUGUAAAAUUGAUCUACUCCAUAAUUUUUUUUAGUUUGACAGUUAAAUUGAUAAAAUUUGUUAUUUACAUUAAAUUAUUAAAAGAAACAAUUCAUCACAUAAUUACUCAUAUAAUCAAUAAAUCUUUAUUUUCAUCUAUAAAUAAUUGAGAGUUUAAUUUAUAUACAUUUUUAAUCUAAAAUAAUGUUCACAUCACCUCAUAGGUAUAAUAAUAAAGAAAUUAUUUUGAAGUCAUUAAAUAAAUGAUGUGUCAUCGCGUGAUUAGAUGCACAUGUAAAACAUUGUUACAUUUAUAAUAUGUAAGCAUUAAACUUUUAUUUAUAUAUAUAUAUAGUUAAAUUUAUGACUUACUAUUCCACUACACAAUUUAGUUGUUUGUCUACUGCUAAGGUAGCUAGACAAGAUAACAAAAUACUUCAAGCUAUUAGGCUUGAGGUGAGGCAUCUAACUAUGGUGCACGUUGGUUACUUGAUUCGAGUUAUAAGUGAUUCAGAUAUUUUAAGCAAAGUGAUCAAUAAUUUAAUUUCUUAAUUAUUUUUGCGCAUGGAGAAACUAUUUGGUCGGUAAGGGAGAGUCGAUUUCUGUAACAUUGAUUAAUUAUCUGUAGUCCACGUUAUACAAUAGAACAAAAAUAAAUUUAGCUUACACAGAAGAUUAAGAAAAAAUGUAUCUGUAUAUGGGUUUUAUGUUAGUAGGGAGUUAAAUCAUUAACUUUUUUUUUCUUCUUUCUUUCUAACUCCAACUCUUAUAUGAUCCUUCUAAAUCAACUCUUGUACUUUGUAAGUUAUAAACAUCAUAUCUUGUUGGUUAGCAUCAGUCAUGGUAUUUAUAAUCAUAUGAUGUUGCUACAUUUUCUUCUCUCCCUUUUUUGAAUCUCAGUUUUUCUCCUGAUAAGUUUGAGGUGCUGGUCCCUCGCUCAGUGUCACUUGUAUUCUUAUGUUGUUAGAUUUUUCUGAGAAACAGAAUAUGUCGUUUUCAAUGGACUGGUUGAGCUAGCUUACAGUCAAAAGAAUUAAAAUUAUUAAUUUAUGUUUAUGGAGCAUGAAUAGUCUGCAUCACACGCAUGCCUCAAUUGAGCUAUGAUUAAAGUGUGGUGUGGUGUAGAUAACUUCUUUUCGAGUCAAGGACCAAGCAAAUUAGUAUGUUAUUAUGUAUAAGAUGAGUUAGUAUCAUUUGACUGCCCCAUACUCUCUAGUAUUUGAUAUAAAAUAUAGAUUAAAUUGUAAUUUUAAUCUCUUAAUUAUUAUUAAUUUAUGAAAUUAAUCUCUCUAUUUUAAAAGUCGAUAGUUUUAAUUUCUCUUUUAGAUUUUUGAAUUAAAAAAAUAAUAAUUUCACAUAUUUUAAAUAACGUGAUAUACAAUUCUAUAAUAUAAAACUAUAUAGAUGUAUUAAUUAUUUAUACAUCAUUAAUUAAAUUUCUGAAGUUGAAAGCUAAGUUUUUUCGGUGUUUUAUUCUAAUUUCAUGAGUUUUAAUCAUUUUACAUCAUUAUAUCAUAUGUCAUAUGUUAUUUAAAAUAUCUAACGUCAUCAUUUUGUAGUUAAAAAAUAAGAAGAAGAGAUCCUGUCUAUUUUUAAAAUAAAAUAACCAAUUUUGUGAAUCAGUAACAAUAAGAGGUCUAAAACUGUAAUUAAAUUUAAAAUAUAAGAGAAAAUUUAAUAAAAAAAACAUAUUUAAUUCAAAAUGUAAAUAAAAUAUAUUAAUUUUUAUAGAGUCAUUUUUUUUUAUGUUUAAGACCGGAGGCUAUACACAAAUAUUAUGACAUUUAUAAUAAUUCCCAAGUGUAUAUUCAUCUUAUAAAAUCUAAUGUUGAAUUAAAACUUAAUAUAACAAAUCAUCUCCAAAAAAAUUUCACAUAAAUAUGAAAUUCUUUAAUAUAUGAUAUUUCAAAGUUAGUUCGUUUAGUAAAAUUUCAUAAGACAUUAAUUUUAAAGUAUAUUAAUACUAUAUCAAACACAAUAUUAAGUUUGACACUAUUGUGUUAUGAAUCAUAACUCAUUUCAACUAUAGAUUUUUUUAAUUAAUUUAUAUUUUUUUUUUGUUAGCGUGAACAUACUCAAAAAUAGUAACUAUUUCAGACUUAUAUGUUAUAUAUUAAAAAAAGUAAUUUUAAUAUUAUAAAAAUUACAUUUUUUUAAAAACUAUCUCAAUUUUUUUUUAUGAGAAACUACUAAAAAAUGAUUUUUAUCUUCCAAAAAAAUUAUAGAAAAAAAUAUUUUAUGAGAACUAUUUAAAUCAAUUUCUCAUUUAAAUGUUUUUUAAAAAUUAUUUUUUAAAAUAUUUAUAACAAAAAAAUAAAAUAAUUUAAAAAUCAAUUUAGAAAAAAAACUAUAACAAUUAAGUGAAUCUCUACUCAAAGUGAGAGAACUAACCAUUCAUUAAACGGAAAGAUAUUUGGGUAAGAUUUUAAACAUAAAACUUAAGUACAUAAAAAUACAUAUCAUUUAAUUUUUUAAAAAAUAUAUAUUAUUUAAUUGUUUUUCCUUUUUAUUUAUUUUUUAUUUUGUGACUGUGUCUAAAUUUUAUGUGCAAAAUUUUGAGACUACACAAGAAUUUAUCUCUUAAACCACCAUCACGCCAUUAAAUGAAUCUCUAUUGUUUGUUGGACAUUUUUUUUUCUUAUCUUUCUUUUGGGCUUAAACCAUGUGUAAUCCUUUAUUCGUAUAUAAAUUAAUAUUUGUUAUUAAAAUAUAAAAUCAGACACGAAAUACAAUACUUUUAUAAAUUAAUUAAAAUAUUAUAUUUGUGUCUUAUUUUGUAUUUUUAUAACAUUACUCUUUAAAAAUCAACAACACAAUGUGGAAUUUCAAAUCACUCAUUUGCAUUUGUUAGUAACUUCAAUGAUCAAAUAUAGAACACCACCAAAUACUUCUAAAAUUUGUGUUAUUCAAGAUUUUAGAUACUAAUUUCUUGAGUUCAAGUGAUUAAUGAAUUUAACUUAAAGAUGAAAUAUUUGUAAAAAUUCAAAUUUAAAUCAUAAUUGAAAUAAUUAUUAACUAAAUUUUUCUUACCUUCCAAUCAAAUUUUAAAUUACAAAAGUUUCCGUUAACAUAAAGAGUAUUCAAGAGCAACUCUAGUUUAGUAUUAUUAUCCAAUUUGCGUUGGUUCAAGUUAGAUGCCCCACAUAUAGACUUGUGCCAUAAGUUAUUAACCAUAUGUGUGACAUUCGGCACAUCAAAUCCACCUGCCAUGCUCUUUCUUAUCAUUUACCAUUACAAGUCAAAGACAAACCUUUGCUUCUAAGAAAAAUAUUCCCUGUUAUUCAAUCGUAUACUCUCGUUUUUUCUUAAGAAAAUAAGUAUUAUUCACACAACAUUAAUGUAAAUCAUUUACAGAAAACUCUUAUAACCACAAGAAUCAAAUGCUUAGCAUUGAAACUAAAGUUUGUUUAAAUUAUAAUCAGCUUCCAUCGCGGCUACUUGCUGUUGCUGUUAUUAACAGAUAAUCAUCUAAUUAAUUAUACCACAAUCCAUUUGUUACAACUUAACAUGGGUUGGCACAUUGAGACGUGCACUUCAUGAUCUCAAAUAUAUAUUCUGACUUAGAAACUUAUAGUUUUUACAAUGUGUUCUUUCAAACAUCACUCAGAACUCUUUUAUGAAUUUUAUAUUGUAGAAUUCUACAAUUCAGAACAUAGUCAAAAUUUUCUCCUUUUGUUAACAUGAUGUACUGACGUAAUCAUAUUGAAGAAUAAGAUACACUGCUUUACAUACAUUUAUGUAUCACUGAAUUUGUCUUUCAUUAUAAAACAUUGUUGUGUUACAAGUUAAGGUUGUUCUUUGCCAUCUGAAACUUGCUACCUUGAGAUCUAGUUGUAAGAUGCAAUGGCCUUGAAUUAGAGUCAAGAUAAUGGAGGAUCAAAACCAUAACAAUUGAACAAAUAAACAUUGGUAUUGGACCAAAAAACCAAAGCAACAAAUUAAGUGCAAAAUAGAGAGCUCUAAGACCAAGUGACCAAAAGUCACCACCCCUUAUAACUGCUAAUUCAAUACUACUAACUGGAAAAAAGCUAUCUGGUGUGCUUAUCAAAUAGUUCGCAUGAACAAAGUGUCUUGCUGAUUGAAUAAAGCAUGAGAAAGCAAGGAGAAAGCAGGUUAGUAAGCAAAUGUACUUGAUGGAUAAUGUGGUUGCUUUUGUGUCACCAUAGAUUAAUUGACUUUGGAACAAAAUAUUGGAACUAUUUGCAAUCCAAGCUCCAAUUAGAGAACAAAGAGUCAAAGAGACUGAGGCCAAGAAUGUUGCAGCUGUUGUGUUGGAUUGAAUGACAGAUAGAGCUGUGCUAACAUCCUUUUUGUCAGCCUGAUCAUUCAUUACAAAGUUUAUAAACAAGCUUAAAAAAUUUAAAAGAUGUUUCCAAUGAAAUCAUAGGAGGGAUAAGGAUUAUACUUGCCUGCAUAAUUCUGUCAACCCAUGCUCUUAUGUCAUUGUUCACGAAUCCCAUGACAGUGGUGUGAGGCCUAUUGAUAUAUCUGUGAAGCAGAAAGAGGUGAUAAGCAAACAUGACCAGCAACCCACCAGGGACUAAAAUCAAAUCCAGAUACUCCUUAUGGAACUUCAUUUACACUUUCUUCCUUCCUAGGAAUCUAAUUUGAGGAGUAGGAUAAAGUUAUCAAGGCCUUCUGUUAUGAACAAAUAACUAAGUGGAGUCCAUGAUCAUCAUUCAUAUUUACAUUUAAUAUGCUUGACGGGCCAUUGACUUUUAGACUUAUAAUUUGGCAACCAAUUGCAACUUGCUAUAAUUUUCCACCAUAUUUUAUUCUCAACCAUUGGCAUUAUUGAUUAGCACAGCUAGAACACUAACUAACAAAAGAAAGAAGUUGCUUGGGGAAAGGGGAAACUUUUGGACUUAGAAACAAGUUUUGUACUCCAAAUUGUUAUAAUGUAGAUGGUAUAAAUCACUCUCAAUGCACCUGAAUAAUUAAAAGUUAUAUAGUACAUAAAAAAGGAAACAAGAGGAACCUAAGUACAAGAUGUGCCUAGGUUCAGCAAAAGUAUGUAAAAAUACAGUAAGAAGUUCUGCAUAACUGUAAAAAAAAGAAAUAAACUAACUAAUCCCCCACGUCAUGAACCAACACAAAAUAACAAAACAAAUGAACAAUGAACCGAAAAAUAACAAUUGAUCAGUUCCUAUAUCCAGCACCCGUCAUUUACCUACUUCACAUUUCUCAUGUAUAAUGAGCCUAUCACAUCAAAAAAGAAUUCAUAGCAGAGGCAGCAAACAAUUGAAGUAGAAUAACUAGCAUCCUCACAGGAACAUUUUAUGACUGCAACACUUCUUGAUGACAUGUUUGUGGACAGGUUUAUCUGAAGGUGAAGUUAUGCUGUGGUAUUGUGGCGUGUUAUUAUCAAUGUGACGAAUCUUUGAAAGCACAACUCUUGGGACUCCUGAGGUGAAGCAGUAGAAUCAUAGCAAUUUGCCUGAACCAGGAUCAUUACUACAUUAUUCUUUAGAUUUAUUGUUGUGACCCUGCAUUUUAAUGAAUGGAGCGCUCAUUUAACCUUGUACAUUGAGCUGCAAACAACAGGGAAAAGACUGUUAACUAUUUUCAUAGUAAGUUUAAUCUUAUGGCUUAAAAAUAUAUAAAUGCUUACUGUAUAUAAAAGUAGAUACAAAAGGUGGAAUAAAUUUGCUGGGCUGGUAGUAGGAUAUUCAUAUAAUUUUAAAAGUUUAAAAGAUAAUGAAAAAAAUUUGGUGUGGAAAAUAAAUAAAAUUGGGCAAGUGGCAUUUACGAGAGGCAGGGCAAAACAAUUACCAGUUGAAAAUCCAAGUUGAAGCUUUCUAAAUCCAUUUAUCGUCAACCAAAAUGCUCUCGAUGUGGGAAAUUUUGGGCCAAAUUUGUGGAUGUUUCAUGCUGCACCGUUCUUCCAGCAGUGGACAUUUAAUGAUUUUAAGUUUUGUUAGAGUAGCAGGCAGCCUUUCUCCCGCCAUAUUCUCCAGCUUGUAACAAUUAAAAAUUUCUAAUUUUUGGAGGGACGUGAGGUGGAAAAGCUCCGUGCAGUCCAACGUGUGCAAGCUUGACAUAUUGCGUAGCGUUAGAGAGGUAAGGGAGGGAGGCAGCAACGCAAAACCCUUAUUGGGGAAGGACUCCACACCAUCACAACUACCAAUUGUAAGAUGGGUGAGCAUGUCCAUCAAACUUAGAGAUGGGCUCCUCAUUAACUUCUCGCAUUUAUAUAUAACAAGUCUUCUCAAGCUAGGCGGCAUACCACCUUCACAAAACGUCUCCAUUUCUGGGCAAUCUCGUAUAGUCACACUUUCUAAAUUCGGGAGAAGAGUAUUUGCUUGACAAGGCAAUGACUUUAAAUUAACACACCUGUAGACAAACAAUUCUCUCAAGUUGGGCGCAGCCAAUCCAUCUCUUGCAAAUGAAACUAAUUUGGGGCAAUGGGAAAUGAAAAAUAUGUUGAGAUUUUGAAGAGUCUUUGAAGCGGAAAAACAUUCUAGAUUUUCACACUGGUGGAUGUCGAGACUACUGAGGUUGGGAAAGGUCUCCAGUGGGAAGAUUGUCAGAGAAUCACAACUACUAUUUAUAUACAACAAUUUAAGUGACUCGUGCUGCUGCUUUUGCUUUGGAAAAUCUAGAUUUUUACAAUCUGUGAUGGACAAACUCUUUAAGGAUGCGGGUAAACAAUCUCCAGGAAACGAUAACGCACACGAACAAUUGUUGAUAUUUAUAAUUUUCAGGGAAAUCGGUAGCGUGAUGGCAAUGAUUUCAAAGAAGGACUCCGUUGCCUCUCUUCCAUCAAUUUCGAUCUCUUCCAAUGAAAGGGGUAGCUCUCUCAAUGCUACUUUAUUGCUUUCACGUAUCUCUAUUUUCCGGAUGGCAGGAGUACAUGGAAGAGACGAAGCAAGUUGGUCGCAUUGUGAAAUCUGAAUUGUUUUCAAAGCAGGAAACUGAGAUGGCAAAUCUCCCCUCAAUAAGGGACAACCACUAAUCACAAGAGACUUGAGUACAGGAAAAUAUGCAUUUGGCUGAUGGGGAUGGUGCCACACUUCCCAACAUGGCAUGCCAUCAAAUCGAAGAUAUUCCAGGGAGGGAAAGANNNNNNNNNNNNNNNNNNNNNNNNNNNNNNNNNNNNNNNNNNNNNNNNNNNNNNNNNNNNNNNNNNNNNNNNNNNNNNNNNNNNNNNNNNNNNNNNNNNNNNNNNNNNNNNNNNNNNNNNNNNNNNNNNNNNNNGGUAGGAAGGAUCUCCAACCCAUUCUGGAAAUCUCGUGCCUCUAUAUCCACAUAUAGACACCUCUUUUAGGUUCUUGGCAGGUUGUAACUUGUCUAGUAUAUCCAUCUCACUUUGUGAAUUUGUAAAAUGGUCUUUUGCAUUAUCAGACCAUUCAAAAGAUAAUUUUUCAAGGUACUUUUUAUCCAUUAUUUUCGCUUGUGAUGCGUCAAAGUUGUUGCUAACAUUCUCUAAUUUACAAAUGCAAAGUAAUCCAUGAAGAUUUGACAGUGUUCCUAGUUCCUUUAUCCCAUUCUCUUUAUGCUUGCCCACAACAAAGCAACUCAAAUGUUGCAAAUGGUUUAAUUUGCUCAUUUCUCUAGGCAUAUCUUCUAACUUUGAAGUGUGGCGGAUAUCAAGAUAGCGCAAAUUCACAAGCUUUUGCAUGCCAUUGGGAAGUUUGAUUAGUUGAUAACAACCAUACAACUUCAAGGUUUGUAGAUUAUGCAGAUUACACAAUGACUCCGGUAGUGUCUUUAUAGUUGUGGAAGAUAGAUCCAAAUAACGCAAAUGAAUCAAUUCACCUAUCGAGUCAGGCAAUGCACUAAUAUCACAAAAAUUUUUAAAUGACAAAACUCUCAAGCACUUCAAAUUCGACAAAAUGAUGCAUGGUGCCUUUUCAUUAUUGAAUGGAGCACGUAUAAAAUCAAUUGUCAAAAAGGUCCUAAGAUGUUUUGCUCGGUCAAAAAUCUCAAAGUUAUCCGUCACUCGAUUACUUAAAUUGUUAAAUGAUAAAUGACGAGUCUUGUUACCGAUCUUCGUUUCUUUCCCAAGUUCUUCUGUUCUAAAGUAGAAUUCUGCCCCGAUCAAUGUUGCCAAAUCAUGCACCAGAUCAUGCAUCACAAAACGCCGGGAGCUGUUUCCACUUCCAAAACGUUGAAAAAAAGAUCUUGAAGCUAAGUCAUUAAAAUACUCAUAACCAACUUCUUCCAAAGUCUUUCCAUUUUUUGGAGGCUGUAAAAGAUCUUCUGCCAUCCACAACAAGAUCAAAUCGUCUGCAUGAAAUUCAUAAUCUUUAGGAUACAACGAGCAAUAAACAAAGCAGCGUUUCAAAUAGGGAGGGAGAUAAUGAUAACUAAUUCUUAGUGCUGGAAUGAUCUUACUCUCCUUUUCAUCAAUUUCCCAAAUAUUACUAUUGAGUAUAUUAUUCCAAUCCCUGAUGUCACGUUUUCGUCGCAACAAACCCCCAAGUGAUUGUGCUGCUAAAGGCAAUCCCUUACAUUUUCUAACAAUCUCUUUGCCAAUUUUUUCGAGAUCCAUAUUCUGAGUGGAUUUUUCUUGAGAAAGGCAAGCAUGGUUUGCAAACACAGACCAACAAUCCUCAUCAGACAAUUGCUCAAGAGAGUAGUAACCUUGAAAAGUUUGGACCAUAGAAACAACCUUUUCAAUACGGGUUGUUACAAGAAUUUUACUUCCUUUAGCUCCGUAUCGAAGAGGCUUUAUAAGAGAAUUCCAACUGUCAUAAUCUUCGGUCCAGACAUCAUCCAAAACAAUUAAAAACUUUUUUCUAGUCAUCUUAUCCUUCAUAUCUUGCUGAAGAAUAUUCAAAUUAUUUGUGUUACAAGCACUUCUAACUUCCUCUGCAAUGGCCUUUGUAACCUUCAAAACAUCAAAAUCAUCAGAAACACAAACCCAUGCUUGAACAUCGAAUUUCUGCUUUAUAAUUUCAUGGUUGUACACAGACUGGGCUAAAGUGGUUUUUCCCACACCACCCAUGCCAACUAUGGGGAUCACAGAAAUCUUAUCAAUAUCAUCAUCAUCACCAUCAUGUAACAGUAAUUUGAGUAUGGCUUCUAUGUCUUGAUUUCUACCAAAUAUGUUAGAUGAUCCAUGAUCUAGAGAGGUUGAUGGAGUUCUCCAAGAAGAGUGGUGGUGAGUUGCAAUAUGUUGAAGAUUAAGAAUAUCUUUAAGUUUAAGAAUGGAUUCAAGCCUAGCAACUAUAUCUUCCAACUUACGAACCAUAUCCCUUUCUUCAAAGUUGAAAAAGCUAGACAAGUAAGUAGUAGCAGUAGUACUCACCUCUUUAUUCUUCAGAGUAGUAGCAGAUUUGGUGGAAAUGUGAUCGAGAAGGUCAUCAGCAAUAUAGAGAGCAUCUUUGAGAUCAUGAAGCCAGUUGUUAACAGCAGAGUCUUUGAUCUGUUUCUGCUCAGCAUCAUUCAAAACAGCUUCAACAGCAUAAAGAGUGUUUUUCAACCUUUGGAUCAAAUUGACAUCAAGCUUAUUUCCAGUGAUGAAAUUAGCAAACUGAGGAGAAGCAAGCCUGUCGAGAACAACUUCAAUGAAAGCAGAGAGAAAAGCCCCACCCAACGCCGCCGCAUCCAUGAUUUAGAAAGAGAAGAGAAGUGAUUACAAAUCAGAGAACAAUGUUUAUUGCAGCACUCACUAAGGUCAAAUCGGCUCUUUACCAAACUGUGAUGAUUAUAUACGAUGUAGUCUAUAUUGUGUCACUCUUGCUUGGCAUGCUUAAUUUAUUUCCACUUGAGUCAAAAUAAGAAAACUUAACUUCACUCAACAUGAUAUUUCUUUAGUUUUGGCAUAGAAAAUCUUUAAAUUGCUUUCUAAAUUCACACACAUUUUGAGUUAUGAUUUAAGUAUAUCGUUAUUUUCUCUUACUUAAUCUUAAAUUAUAUAAAUAAAGUAAAUAAUAUCUAAAAGUAAUUUUAUAGUUGGUAUAAUUAAUGUAUAUAUUUUGUGUAUUGUUAUUAUAAAAUUGUCCAUUGUGUAUAUGUGUAUCUAAUGUUAAUUUUUACAUUCUAAGAUAAAUUAUUAUUAUAUUAAUAUCGAUAAGUUUUUAAAGAAAAAAAAACAGUAAAUGCAUUUAAUAAUUUGAAUAAAGCUUAUAUUUGGAGACAAAUAUAUAUUUCAACGUGUUUAUAAUUAGAGAUGAACAAAGUAAUUAGUAACAACUUCUAAUAAUUUUGAGUAGUGGCGUUUGCGAGGUAGUUUGAUUUUAUUGAAUUCAAUAUAUAAAUCGAUUGAAAGUACAUCAUUUAGUUUUAUUUAAAUUUUCACGUUUUUCGGAUACAUAAACAUACAAAUCUAAUAUUCAAUACUUGUCACUUAAAUUAUAUUAGUUCAAAUUUGGCUAGAUUAGUUUAAAGUUAAACCUCUUAAAAAAUUGUAUCACCUAAAUUAUACGAGUUCGAAUUUGGCUAGAUUAAUUUGAAGUGGAACCUCUUAAAAAAUUGUCCAACUCAAAGAACACCGUAUAAUUUGAAUUUUUGAGUUGGUUUCGUUUUUCAUGUAUUGUUACUCACCUAUAAUCUUUGAGUGUUUUCUUCUGUGAAACUUGAAUGCGUAAUACAUGUGCGGUUGCUACAGAAUACAUACAUGCGAAAUUUUUUAAAUUUAUAAAACAAUACUAUUUAAAUACGUCGAAAAAAUUAUUUACACAUAAAAUACUUAUAAAAAUAAUGUAUUGAUCCAUCUUUAUAAAUAUAUAUAAUUAUAACGAUAAUAAUUUUUAUAAUAUAUAUUAAUUCAUAUGUUAGAAUAUUAAUAAAAAUAUAACUAAAUGAAUUAAAAUAAAUAUUGAUUUUAUUUGAUAGUUAACAAUUUAAAUCUGUUUUAAUUGUCUCAUUCAUCAAAAAAAUAAUUUUUUGAAUUCAAAAGUAGUAACAACAUUUUAAAGUAGAUUAUAUACAUCUCAAUUGAUGUCUCAAAAAAAUUGUCAAAUCUUACUUAUUUCUUUAAUUUUCAUAAGAUACAUGUCCAUAAAUAAUCAUGAAAUAUCUCAAAGUAUAAAAUAAAUUAAUUUUUAUAAAUCAAAAUAAUAAUUUUAAUAAUUAUAAAACAUAUUUCAUAAAUAUUCGUAAAAUAUGGAUAUAGAAUACGUAUUCAAUCCAUAUUUUAAUGCAUCGUAGUAGCUUCAUAGGUUUUCUUAGCCAUCGAAAUAGAUGGAAAAAUCAAUUGGGGACUGGAAAUAUAAAUAAAUUUAAAUUCUAAAUAAAUAAAUUAUGAAGAGAGAAAAUUAAAAAUUAUUAUUUUAGAUGUACUUGUGAUAAUAUCUACUUUUAAUUUGAUAUUGAUCAUUAACAUUAUUCGCAUUACAUUCUAAAUAAACAACCAGCAAAGCAAAGAGCCAAACACAGCGCAACCUACAUCCAUCAAUCAAUUUCGUGGAAAAUCCCCAUUAGUGGCUUCAUCAAAACAUAAUAUUCAAAAAUACAUAUAUUUUCCUUUUCUUUUAAAAUCGUAAAUAUCCAUCGAGGAUUUCGUAUUAAUAGAAAACUCGUUCUCUCAACAACUCCGAUCGUGUUCAUCAAGAAAUAGAAAACACGCCAAUUGCGAAACCAGGCAAUUGUAGUAAUAAAUUAAAGCCAUAGUCUUAUUAUUACAUUAUAUCAUGUUCAUAGAUUAGAGUCCCAUUUUAUUUUAUUAUUAUUAUUAUUAUAAGAAAAAACGAUGCUUCCGCUUUUGAAGCUUGGAACACUCGCCUUGAAAACCCUCAGUAAACCAGUUGCCAGUAGACUCAAACAACAAGCUGCUCUUCAUCCUAGGUUUCGUCAACUCAUCGUUAAUAUGGCUCAGGUGUGUAUUUAUCUAUCAUUUUAAUUCAUCAAUUUAUAAGGGUUUAUAACAUAUGCACAUUAAUUUGUAUUAUUACUUGGAUGGUAACUUUGCUUAUACAUUUUAAUUAAUCAAAAAACAAAUUGAUGUUAUGAAUUAAAUAAAGUGUACCUUUCAAAAGGGAGAAAAAAUGAAGCUCAAAAUUCCUUGGUAGAUGUAAAUUAUUGCAAUGAGGAUGCUAACUGUGUCUGAUUCUGAUAUAUUCAUUAGUUUGAAAGUUUUUCGGUGCACUAUAAUAAAGUCUCAUAUUUAUGUGGGAAUUUUUGCUGUAGUGGAACAGAAAGAUUUAUGAAACGUGUAGUAACUAGUAAGUAAUUUUUUUCGCUGAAUUGCUAGGAGCUUUUUGUUUUGUGAUAACAAAAUGAUGCUAGUGUGAAAUGGAAUCUAUAACCGUGUUAAUGAUGGGGGUGAGAAUAGGAGAAUUAAAAGAGAUUAUGGAUGAAAGAAGUGAUAAGUUAAGCGAGGCCAAGUAGUUAAGAGUAGUUAUAGAAUUAGUUAGGCAGUUAAAGUUGUUGAGGGCAAGGGAUUAGCUUAAAUUGUAGGUGAGGUGUAUAAGAGGAAGGGAUUCAAAUUUUGUUAGUUCUAGGAAACUGAGGAAUGGUGAUGCUAUUGUGAAAGGGGAAAAGGGAAAAUCUUUGAAAGGAAAAUUCUCUCCAGGUCACUGCCAUUGGAAUUUGAUCUUUCUUGCCCUUGAUUUGGAAUCAUCUAAGAAGGAUUUUGAAUUGUUGUCUUACUGUGUGUUGGUUUUCUCCUUAUUUGGCCACAAAUUUGGCAUUUUGUGGGUGUGUUGUUCAUUGUCUUCAUCCACCUGUCCUGUAAUGGCCAAAUUCUCUCCGUCCCGUCCAUUUUCUUCCUAAUCUCUGCCUUAUUAGAAUCUAGAGAACUAAGUUGCACAUGUCCUAAAAAAAUUCACCAAAUUCUCCAAAGCUUCUAGUAUCAGUCCAUAUAAUCCCUGAACAGAGAUCUAACAAGUAGCAAGUCAAACCAAACUUCACCGAAUUUGAUUGGCAUUAAAAUAUUGAUCACAAAGAAAAAUUAACUUUUGGUUCAACUAUGCAUCUUAGUCCCUUGCUUGCAGUUAAACUUAAAACUUCGAUGUUUCCUUCUGGCUUUUAUUCUUCUCUAUUCACUAUGGCAUGUCCUGUUUUAAAUGAUGCAGUUUGUGAUCUGCUUUUUGAUUUAGCUAUAACUGUUUUAGAGAUCAACCAUUUUAAGUACUGGCUGUAGGCAAGUUUGUACGCUGACCCUGGGUGUAAAGUUUUUUUAAUAACUACAUUGGAUGUAAAGUAAUGAGAAACUAUAACAUUAUUUUUCUUACAUUAUAAAUUUUGAAACAGGCUAAUCAUCAAAUCACAACGAAGAUGCAAAGACGUAUAUAUGGCCAUGCAACGGAUGUUGAGAUUCGCCCUUUGAAUGAGGAAAAAGCUGUUCAAUCUGCUGUAGACCUUAUUGGAGAACUCUUCGUCUUCUCGGUAAUAUGGACUAAAAACGUGGAAUUGGUGAAAGCUAUUUUACUUAUUUUUCAUUAUUAUUGAAGACACCAAUUUAAUUUAUGUGGCCAAUUAUAACCAUUCACUUGAAGCAAGUUAACUUUGUUGGUCUGCCACAUGCUGCUUGGUGAUAUAGAAUUUUGCUAAGAAAAGUAAUAAUUAAAAGUUAUUCUGUACAAUUGGACAUGAUUAACAAAUCUGUGUCCUAGACUCUAGUUAAUUCCAUAGAUCAAGCAUGGUAUGUGUAAAAUUUGAAUUUCUAACGAUUGCGUUUUGAGGUAAAAUUACAUUGAAUGAAAAAGCUUUGCUGUUCUCCCUGUUUGUUCUUUUGAUUUCUGAGGUAUAAACAUUGUUGGUAGUUACUGAAAUUAUGAAACUUGGCAUUGAACUCUGUACUUGAUGCAAGUUUUUAUUUCCGACAAGUGAGUUGGUAAGAUGUAUCAUACUAUCAUGUAUGUAUACUCUUGAGUUAAACUAUUAUAAGUUAUGGUCCUAGUACACAAAAACAAGUUACCUUGUAUACAGUCACUCUUUUUGUCAAACUCAUAUCAUGUUUCCUGAAAACAGAGUUAGUCAAUUUUGUUGGUUACUUGAGUUGAGUUGCCUCCGUUACAUAAUAUGUUUAUAUUCAUGAAUUUAAUUUUAUGUUUUCAUUAUUAUUUUGUUCUUCUUUUUCACUUGACAAAAUAAUAGUGUAGAGCCAAAUACAGCAUACUUGCUGGGGGUCAGGAAUUGAGUUAUAUAUUUAAUUUAUUUCUUAAAUUGGAUUUGUUAUUAGGUUGGAAUGUUAAAUACUAAUUAUGAACGUGUUAUUAUUUAAUUAUGUUUGGCUAUUAAUAUAUGUUAUUUAAGAGUAUUUUUAUAGCAUAUUUACUUGUAUGAAAACUUUGCCUAGAAGUGGACAAAAUGAAAGUAGAGAGUGGCAAAUUGAUAGCUCAAGUUGAAAUGAUACUUCCACAGAGUUCACAUUUUCAUGAAAGGAAGAUGUAACAUUUUAAGGAUGGAAAAUUCUUGGAACAUUUUUACAAUGAAAAAGCCCCCACCCCACAAGUAAAAGACCCAGACCCUGUUAUUGACUCUCAGUCUCAGACACGACAUGAGAAUAUAAAUCAUUUUGUCAGAAUGACUCGUGUGCAUAGUCACAUGUCUUGUCCUUGAUUGUUUGCAUUUGUACUGAUUAUAGGUUGCAGGUGUUCUCUUGAUCUUUGAGGUACAAAGAAGUGCUAGAUCUGAAGCACGUAAGGAGGAGUUACGAAAGCAAGACCUAGAGGUGAUUUCAAAUAAUCUUCUAUUAUAGUACACAUAUUUUUGACAUCGUGUUUCUCCUUUAGUUCAAAACUUUUCAAGUUUUCUCUGUCUUUUGUUUAUAUAUGAUUUCCUCUUAACUUUAAUUAUCUUAUUGCAUUUCUUAAGUUCCUAUGCUAAAAUAUUACAACUGUCGUAUGCUACCCAUUUUCUAACACCCAAGAUUGUUACACCAAUUGACACUUUGUGCUGAACAUAGGAAACCAUCUGACAGCUCAUGUAGUCUCAUCUCAUGCUUGGUUUUAAUUUUUAAUAUUUCAGAUUAACACCCAACAAAGUCCUAAAAUUUUUAACCUGACUAUUUAUAGUUUUGCUUGUAUGGCCUUAGUUAGAAGCAAUGCAACUGUUUGUCCAGUCUUUGUGAAAUAAAAGUUAAUUUCUAGAACUGCUGAACAUAGGUUAUGAUACAUGGCUUCAUAUAUUUGAAGAUACCAAGAUACCUGAUUACUAUGUUUUCAGCUUUUGAUCAAUUUAAACCCUACAUUAUUGUUGCCCAAAGGUUGCGUAAUGCUUUUUUAAAUAAACUUUUGAAAUAUUUAAAUUGACAGUCAUGCUGAAUCUGAGAAUGAAAACUUCUAUCUAAUAGUGGAUUGUGCUAGACCAUCUGUGAAAAGGAAGCAGGAGAACUGUAUCAAUGCUUUUGUCAACGUGCUAUGUUUCAAAUGUAUAUUGCUAUUUGCUACAAGUCUAAAUUAACAUGCUUAAAUUGAGGGGUAUAUUAAGGCUUGGCCGUUUAUUAUAUCUAAUUAUCUGAAUUAGGAUUUGUAGAGCUUUACUGUCAAAGAAAAUGUGGUUUAUGUUAAAAUUGCAACUUGUUCUCUCCUUAUCCGUAUGAUCAUUGUCAUUGCCAUCGGUUCCCAUUUAAGUCUAACUGAGAAAAGUUAUUUAUUAGUCAAGUUUUGUUAUACAAGUUAUCAUUGUUCGUUUUCUUUAGGCUAUGAGGCAAAAAAAUGAUGGCUUGGCAGAAGAAGUAGAACUUCUUAAGCAUAGACUUCAAGAACUGGAACAGCUGGCCCGGGGACGAGGACUCACUGGUAUUCUAAAUUUCAAACACAUUAUUAAUAACGAAAAUGGAAAGGCGGAGAAAACUGCUUGACCUGAUGAAAAGAAUAAUUACUUUUCACAUUUUUUUUUCAUUUAUCUUUGGCAUUAGUAUAAUUCUCACACAGUUUCUGAUUCGUUUGAGGAUCUGGUCAACAAGAAUUUUUUUUGACUAGUUUCAAACUUCAAAUUCUCUAUUUGUAUUGAGGAUUAGAUUUCUCACUGAUUGAAAUAUUCUUAUUGUAUUAGUCAAAAUAAACUGCAGAGACUAUAUUUUUUUGGUGACAAAGAUGUGACUCCAUCUGAUGAGUGGAAAGUUUAUCAUAUCAAAUGUACCAUUUACCUUAAGUCCACAUUACAUUCCUUAAAAACAUUUUAUUUUUCACGUGUUCACUUUCUCUUUCAGCAUAAUUGAAUGAUUACACAGGCUGGUGAUUGCUGAAUAGCAAGGACCUCAUGUCCUUAUUCAUUUAAACAGGCUCUAGAAUCUUCGUUGGAAGCAGUUUUAUGCUUAAGAUGAUGAUAAUCUUUUCAAAAAAAGAUGACAGCGAAAAUCAUUUUAGCAUGUAAUGUGUGACAUCAAUUGAUUGCAAGCACAACCAGCCACCAACCACCCUUUUUUAUGUUUCCUUCUGAGAAAAAAAAAGGGUAGAGUAUUAUGAGUUUAUGACCAUGGCAUGUGGCUGGUCUGAGUGAUUAAAAACAUUUUUUUUAAGGACAUGGGAUGCAGUUUAUCUUAAACAGGCAUUAUAUGCAUUAAACAGUCUUGUAGCAGCAAAAUUGCUCUAUGUUUUUAAUCUGUUUCAGAUAGAUUUUCAACUGUUUGUUGAAGAAACUGUGAAAAGCUUUCUGCUCAAUUCAGUUUCUUAGUGAAAGCAUUAGGGUCUAUUUACUUUCUUUGUUUCCUUUUUCAAUUCCAACAUAAUCUACCACCUUAACAUGCCAAGCACAAUAGCUUUUGAAAAGUUUUAUUUUUAGUUUUAAAAAAAGAUAUAAUUUAUUUUUGAAAUUUGGUAAAUGCCAAAUGAACUUUUUUUAGUAUUUCCAAAAUACAAACUCUUUAAUUUUCCCUGAUAAAAUUGUUUACUGCAGUAAAUAGAUUUUGAUACCAUUGAGUUUACAAUACUUACACGUUUAACACGCCGGCCACUUGUAUUAGACUUUGAUGGUAUUAUUCUUUUGUCUAUGACAAGAUCAAAUCAAUUUCAAUAAUGUUCUUAGAAAACGUAUAUAUCCUAAUAUUUCUUUUAUAUAUCUCUUAUCAUGGUAGAAUCGUGGUACUUAACCUUUAAGUACAGGGUUUAGUUUCCACAUUACAUAAGUAAAAAUUUGUUAAAUUACAAUGUAAGGAAAACAAUUUCAAGUUUAUCCAUUCGUUUCUUUGGAGGAGCCUUUGGUUUUGGUUGCCUCUUUCCCAUAGCUCAAAUCCUGUUUUUGAUACAAAUAACAAAAGUAUGUAAAUAAUUCCCUGAAAAAAAAAAGUUAUCAGCAUUCCAUAAAUUUGAAAAUGCAGGAAGUGCACACACACAAACAACUCUCGGAGUUCCAUACAACAAUUGAACUUACCCACCAACUGACAUUUUUCACCUGUCAAUACUUUUCCAAUACUAUUUUCUCUCCAUUUUUUUUAAUGUGGCAUAGAAAUAUGAAAUAGAAACAUAAAGUAUGUAAUUAUGUGUUUUUGUUAGUGUUUUCCGAUAACAUUUAAUUUGAGAAAAAAUAUCAAAAUUUUAGUAUCGAUGUCUAAAUAGUGGAUAAACAAUUUAUAUAAAAAAUUCGGUAAUUGUUAUCAUCACCUAGAGAAAGAAAUUGAAGAAAUUUGCAGAAAAGAGUUAACCCUUUUUCUGUUUGUCUCAAAUUUUCAUAUAAAACCAUAAGCUACCAAAAAAUAGAGAAGAGAAUUGAAUAGAGUAAUGGGAAAUGAGAAAGGGGAAGAGGGAUAUAAGAGAAUAGAGAGCAUAUGAAUUAUGAAUACUUUUUAGGGAAAAUAUUUUUUUAAUUACUCUUUGGCCCCUUAAAUAGUUCAUAUAAAAAAAAAGAAGUAAAUUACAAAUCAUAAGAAUUAUUUUAAAUAUUUACAUCAAAAAUAAAUUUUAAAAUUUAAUUCAUAAAUAUCUAAAAUUAUUUUACAUUAUCAAUCAAUUAUAAUCAUUAGAUCAUUGCUAAUGAAUAAUUAUAAUAUGCUGAUAGUUAAUAUGUGACAAUUAACCUUCAACUUUUAAAUAUAUUACUUUCAUAAAAAAAACUUUGAGUUAUUUUUUAUAAUUGUUUUUCUUUUUAAAUAUUUUCAUUAUGGUUAAGGAACUCGAAAUCGAUUCUCAUUGAUAAAAAAAAUUCUAAAAGUUAUUCUUCAAAUUAUUCAACAUCAUAAUCACUGUUUUGAUAAUAAUAACAGAUAAGCCAAUAUUUGUUUGGGUCAAGAAAAGAAAGAAGCAGAGGAUCCAUAACAUUCGAAUGAAAUGCCCAGCCCAACAAGAAGGAACACAACAUUUCUCUCUCUCUCUCUCUCCAAUGGCAACUGCCAUGGCCACUGUAGCAACAUCCACCACCUCACUGUUCACCCCUUUCGUUCCCCUCCGCUCUAACUCCAAAUUCUCACUAUUCUUCCCAACGCUUCACUUUCCCAACUCCAAAUACUCCAUCUUUGUCCUCUCAUGUUCACCUCCGAAGACAAUUCCGGUGACGGAGCAACAAGUUUUGAAAGCAAUUGCCGAUUCAUCAGACCAAAAGAGACUCCCUUGUGUCCGAACAUUCGAAAAUGAUUUGUCUCAACUCACUCUCGUCGGAGCCGUUGAUUUCCGUCAGGCUGUAACGGCUGCUGCCGCUGAUGGCGGUGAAGUUGCCUCUGAACACAUUGACGCCAGUAUGGAUGCCAUGGUUGUUGAAACCGUUUUUCCUGCUUCUUCUAGUGACCAUGGCACUGUAUCUACUCGAUUGGUACCUUCUUUUUUAACUUUGUUAUGAAUUUGUCAAUUUUUUAAAUGAAACUCUCUAUGAUUUUGGGGUUAUUUAAAAAUGUACUUAUAGGUUAUGUUAUUACUUUAAUAUUAUAUCUAGUACUACAACUAGGAGGAAAGUGAGUGACAUUAGAGCUGAAAAAACAUAAGCAUACUUUUGUAAUGAGGAAAUAAUGAUGUAAAUAUAUUUAAGGUGCAUAUGUGUUUCUGUUGCAUCAUGCAUUUAUGUAUUUUAUUUUUAUCAUCACAUAAUUGCAGACCGCAUCGGUGUUGUCGACAGUGGAUGGAGGUCCAUGGCAGCGAUGGCUAAAAUCCGCUAUUUUUUUGUCUACAUGUCCGCCAUAGCCAACAUCAUGUGUGAAAUGGCCAUUGAUGAAAUCCCGCCACCAAUAUCCGCCGUGGCUUCCAUUUGAUAACACUGGCUGCAAUUGUGUGUAGGGAUGAGAAUAGGGUGCACCGAGCUAGACUAUUGCAUAAAUUGGUCUAUUAAAAAAGUUCAAGCUCCAAGCCUAACCUAUUGUCAUAAGCUUGAUCUAAUGCUUAAUUUAUUUAAAAGAUUUGCAAGUAUAUGAUUUAACACAAUAUACAAAAUCUAAUAUAAUACUCCCUCUGAUCCUAAAUAUAAGAGAAAAUUAGGUCAACAAAAGAUGAUGUAUUUGGUCCAAUGUUUUUCUUAUAUUUAGGAUUGGGGGGAGCAGUAAUAAUAAUAAAAUGAUUAUUGACUUAAAUAGGUUAGCUUGUUCAGUCUAAAAGGCUUUUUGGGUGGCUUGAAGCAUGAUCUUUUUAGCUAUACAUGUUUCUAAAAAGUUUUGGUCUUGUCUAUUAAGAAGGAAACUUAACCUCACUUGGGGCCUGACAUAGAAUAGGCCUUACGUCCCUUUUUGGCAACAUGGCUUAUUCCAACUUGUAGUUGCGGGAUAUGUUUGGCACACUGUUUUGGAGACAUUUUGUGUAAUUUAUAUGUGUUGUCUUUGGUAGUAAGUAGAAGCUUUUCGCAAUGCCAAUUUGAGAAUUGAAUUUCAAAUGUUGUUGUUUUGGCAGUUUUUACCUGCUAGGAAAGUUAAAGAAAAGGCUGCUAAGCUCAGAAAGUCUCUCUCACAAGAUAUGUUUUCCAACACUACAUCUAGGAAUGUACUGGCUAUGACCUUUAGGCAAGUGGUUUUGGAGCAGAUUUGGAACUUUGAUCUCAUUGUCUUUCAACCAGGAGAAGAACGAAAAAUGGAAGAUCUCGAAAACCCGAGAGAGGUUUGUUACUUUCUCUUCCCUUGAUUUUUUAUAAGUUUUAUAUCUACAUUGCUUUUGUAAAUCGUAAUGUCAUAUUAUGAUGUCUGUCGUGCAGGUGACCCUGAUACUGAUACGUUCGGUUCUUUUUAUGCAUUUAAUAUGAGCAGGUUCCUGCGUCUUUCACUCUCAGCUCAUCCGAUGAAUAUCUUAUGUCCGUGCUUGCAGAAGUUGUUUGCAUCUCUGCUCUCCAAAACACUCAAAGGCAAUUUCUUGAUAAAUCACAGGGUGGAAGUAGAAGUGGUUUCUUUCGCUGGUUUCAAAAGCCUGAAAGGAUACAAUCAAAAGAUUCUGCAGUCAUCUUGCACAAAUUAUUUGAAGAUGAAAUAGUGGAAAAUGCAAAAAGUCUAUUGGAUAACUAUCAUUUAAUGAAGGAUGGACUCAAGCCUGUGAAAAUAAAAUCAGGGCCUUUCUGGUGGAAGCCUUCCUGUUAUGAAAAAUUAGAGAAAAUUGGUGGUUCUGAUUUCAGUGCUUGGACAAGUGAGUAUGUACCUGUAUAUCGGUUAGAGGUUGACACCAAGAUAAUGGGAGAUGCAAAAUUUCAGGGCUGGAAGAAAUCUUCAGAUAAUAGGUGGGAAGUUCUUUUGACCCACUCCCAAAUGGUACUUUAUCUUUUCCUUUUGCAUUUACCUUUAUACUAUUGGUGAUAAUUUCUAUUUUUGAUUAUUAGUAGUUGUGUCUCAACUGUUUAAGUAAGUUUCGCAGUGGACUUCAAUUUUUGUCCUCAGUUUUAUUGAAAAGACCUUUAGCCUUGGUCAAAUAUUCAUGUUUACAAGUUGCGAGUUGUUAGUUUGCCAGAUGAGAGUGCCUUCAAAGUAAGGGGUAACAUAACAUACAUAUAUGUAAAGAACAAAAAUAAUGAAGGGGAGACACAACAUGAACCUCUCUUAAUCAUUUAUGAUUUACUCGUCGGAGGAGCAAAUAAGAAAAAGAGAAACAUGGGCAGUGUUUAAAAUUUUCUUAAAGAUUUUGGAUAAUAUUCUGAAAUAUAAAAAUAAAUUUGGAAAGUUUCAGAAAACUUUCUAACUCGGUCAGGUUCUUAUCUUAGUGAGCGUUUGAUAAACAUAUUAGAAUAGGACAGAACAGUAUGUUUUGUUCUAUGUUUGAUGAAUACUAAAAGUAUAAUAUAGUAGUAUGUAAAGUACAUUUUAGUCACCUUAAAGAAAACAGAAUAGAACAAGUCAUCCUGUUCCAUCUGGUCUGUGUGCCAAACACUACCUUAGUGCUGACUUCUACGUUUUGUUUGGAAAGUUUGAAUAUGGUGGCUUUCGUUCAAUACUUCGAUAUUGCACUGUUAAUUAGAUUUUACUUGUUUCCUAUACUCUAUGCUAUAGAAGGGUGUACUGCAUAGUGCUUAGGGUCACCUAAAGUUAUGUGACAACUGUGUUAUCAAUAUCAUGCAUUCGAUAUGUAUACAUUAUGUUACAAGUGUAACGAAAUUGCAGGUUAGUUUGGCAGAAACGCUAGAUAUGUACUAUGUUGACCCCUAUUCUCUACCUGAUAAGGACUUAUCCUGUGGAGUGGUGGCCGAGUAUGUCAACGUCUCCAGUAGAAAGGUACGUCUGUUAUUUGUUUGUUAAAAUUCACUCAAAAUUUAGCAUUCAAAACACUUGAUUUACAUGGUAUUAUAAAAUCCACAGGAAUUUUCUUCUGGCGUGGCUGCCAAACUUUCCAAAGUCUCAUAAAAAAGUAAUCAAGUGUUCGUUAUUUGUUAUUUAUAGUGUUGUAAAAUAGCAGCUAUAGCCUAUAUGGCAACAGAAUUUAAACAAAACACUGUUAUUUUUGCAAUAUGUGAUUUUGUACAAAAUAUUGUCUAAUAGCGGCUAUAGAGGUGCUUUAGCAGUGUUGCGUAGUAGAAUUUGAAGAAAUCACUAUUUUCAGUGAUCUAUGAUUGACAACACUGAUUAUAUAAGUGUUUCAACUCUCUUAAGUGUGAGAGGAAGAUAAAACUACAUGAUAAGCUGUCUUUCUAUAUCAAAAAUUAGUCUUCUAAUGAUCUCCAUGUUGUCAAGAUCAUGGUGUAAAAACAUUUGGGAGUUUAGGAGGGAGGGAAGGGCUUUGGAGAAUAGGAAGGAAGAAAGGGAAAGUGAAGGAAGGAUAGUCCCCCAACUUGAAUGGGGGAUUUAAUUUUCUUCAUAAUACAAAAUCCCCCUAUAUUGGGAGAACUCAAAAAAUGUAUUGGAUGAAGAAUUUGGAGGGCUUAGAUAAAUUCUUCAAAUCUUUUUUCACCUCUUUAUUAAUAAUCUCAAAAUUAAAAGUAUAUUAGUCAUAUACAUCCCCUUUUCAUUCUUUACAAAACCGCUCUCUCAAAUAAAGUGGAAUAUUUCCCUCUUUCUUUCUCUCUCCUUCUCUCUUCCCAAAACCUCCCCUCCCCUCCAAACUCCUAAACAGAGCCUUAAUCUAUAUUUUUUGCUCAUGAGUUGGUUUUUUGUUAUAGCUCUGUUGGGAUAGUGUAUCUUGGCAUUUAGCUGAUUGGCGUAUUUGUUUGUAGGGGAGUUAUUUAUCCAAAUUUUUGUCCGUCACCCUUGCAACUGGCAUGUUUCUUGUAGCGAUCAGUGCUCUUGGUCAAUUUUGGCUGCCUCGUUUAAGCAAGGAAAGGAAACACCCUGUAGAACAUAGGUCUCUACCUACAUCUGAAGUCAAUAUUAUGCAUGACAUUCUGGAUGCAACAAAGGUGUGCUGUCUAUCCUUUUUCUUUUAUUCAUUUUAUUAAUAUAUGCAAAAUUUGCAUGUUGUUUAGGAAUGGAUAAAUACAAUGUUCAUUAUAAACUAGCUACUUAUACUGUUCUUUCUUUUAUACAUUGUUUCUUUCGUACAAUGCAAUAUUGUCAAAUAUCUGCUAUAAGCGGCGCUAUAGCACAAUAGUGUUGUAGAGCUUGAACAAAACGGAAGCGCCAUUAUUUUUGCGAUACACUAUUUAGUACAAAGUGUUAUCAAAUAAAGGUUAUACCGACCCUAUAGCACUGUACCGUAGCAAAAUUUGAACGAAGUGUUAUUUGCUAUAAUCUGUGAUUGACAACACUUGUACAAAGGUUAUAUGUCAUGUUAGGUUAGGGUCUGUUCCCACAUUCCCUGUGGCAUAAGUUGUAUUGUCUGUGUAACUGUUUACACUUUUUAGUGCUUUCUAUUUCUUUCUGAGAAGUCCUUUCUUGAAUCUUUUACAUGGAUAGGUGGAAGAGUUUUGCGUGCCAGCUGUUGCUAAGGUGAAGGAUGCUUUUGGCUGGUCAGAUGAAAUUAAAGUAGAUGGUAUCGGUGCCUGGAUUGGAGAAUUACCGGCAUAUUUGAGAGGUGAUGGUGUUGAUACACUUUCUACUUCUUCAGAGGAUAUAGAUGCAGAUGUCAAAGUGUCAAUGCAGGAUAUUGCUAGUUACCAGGUAUUCCAUAUUUUCAAAAUAUUGUAAUACAUCUUUGGCUUCCGUGUUAUUUUUGUUGCAAAGUUAAAGCAUGACUAAUCAUUGGGAUUUUAAUUUCACAAGCUAUUAGAGGCUCCUGUACAUGGAGGAAAAGGUGUGAUGUGUGUGUCUUGUAACUCUUGUUUGCUUUGUGUUAUUCAAUUUAUGUGUUGUUUGUUGCCCUUUUAGGUGGUUUUCUCUAGUGAGGGGAAGAUAGUUGGUUUUCAACCCUUGAGUCGAGUGGCGGUUAAUCAGUGGGCUGAUAAUCCUCUGGCAAGGGAGCUGUAUGGAGGGAAAAAGCUUUCACCGGGUAACUUCUUAUUGCUUUCGAUUUUCGAUGCUUAAUGUUACUGAAGCUGUUAACUGUUCUCUUGGAUUAUUAUUUUAUCAAACAGGUAUCAUUGAACCAGGUCUCAGGGUUCUCCUUCCAGAAAAAGUUAUUGUUGUAGAGUUGCUCAUGUCAGUAAAACCAGAUGUCUAUUUUGCAAUGGCCAGGCCAUAUCAGUGAUCCUUUUCUUGGUAUAUAUAAUAUAUAUUCAACAAGGCUAGAAGUUUGUUUUUUUGGGGGGUGAAACGUUAGAAGAUUGUUGGUCUUUAGUAUAUUGGUUUUAAGAAUAUAUAUGGUAGCUCAUUCUCUUGUAAGGGUAGCACGUCUAAAGCUUGUUCUCAAUUGUUUGUGACGACUCCAAAUUGUAUUGAAUAUUUUAUUGAGUUAGAAAUGCAAUAAUAUUUUUGUAAAAGAAAAAUUAUAGUUCCCCCAAGAGAAUUUUUUUAAGGCACCAGAAGUUAUGCCUUGAGUUUAUCACUUUAUUAAACAGGUGUCCUAAAUCUUUUCAUCUUUCUUUGUGAAAAAUCGAAAACCCCUUCCACCAUAUUUGUCCCGAUAAUUUGAAAGGUAGAAGAAAAUAGGGAGGAUAAAAUGUAUAUAUAUCCAAAAUAUGGGAGUAAAACAAAUAAGAAUUCCUGUACUAAAAAAAAAAAGAAAGAAUUCAAAAUAAUGGAUUGAUAGAUAAAAGUUCAAAAUAAGGAUUUCCAUGAAUUGUAUUGCAUAUAAUUGUCAGAUCUAAAUAAAAACCUAAAUGAGACAUAGCAGUUGAAGGUAGUGAGAGUGAGACAGUCUGGCAAUUAAAUUUUUUUGAGUGAACAGUGAAUUUGCGAUUUUAAAUUGUAUAGGCCGGAUUUUAUCGCCUAAAAUCUAGAAAUAGAUAAAUAAAAUUCUUAAAUAGAAUGAAGUCAAUCAAAAUAGUCUCUAUGCUAGUUUGACCUCUCAAUGAUGUCGAAAUUGCUUGAUUUAAUAAACACGUCAGACAUAGGUUAAAUUGUCCGAUUUGGUAAACACGUCAUCAUAUAGGGGUUAAAUUGACCGGCCGAUUUUAUAAACCAAUUCGAAACUCAAAAUUUUUAUUAUCCCUUUAUAAAAUACUUUUUUGUUCAUCUUUUAUGAUUUCAAACUUCUUCUUCCAAGCACCUUAAUUUAUAUAAUUCAUUUUUCUCUAUCUUAUUUGGUGUUCAAAUCUCAUAAAAUGAAAGAAUAAAUAACCACUUAUUCUUUUCUCUCUUUCAUAGGUGAAAACUUGAACUUGACAAUUUUCAAAUAUCAUAGUAAAAGAAAAGUUGUUGUUAGAGUUGCUUCAACAAAGAAGAACUUUGGAGCACAUUUCUUUUCAUGUUUAUUGCCAAAGGUAAUUUUUCCGAUUUCGUUUAUCCGUUUUCUCAUUUUUUGUUUUUUCCUUUUCUUCAUUUUUGUUUCCAUUAUUCCUUCAAUUUUGUACCCCCUUUUUUUUUUACUAUUAUAUCUCAAAUUUCUUUUAACUUUUGCGGGCGGUAAGAAAAUUUGAGUAAAUGGAUGGAAAUUUAAUAAUUUAAUAAAUUUUUUAAACUGUCACAUCAGAAGGUUUCAUCCAUGUCAAACUCAUUAACAAAUAAAUCUAACAGAAGGAUUAAUUUGUUCAAUGUCAUUCAAUUUAAAAGAUUUAGAUGUAUGUUUUUGAAUUUCAUAGGAUAAAUGUCUAUCUCUACAAUUUCAAGAAAUAAAUUGAUUAUCUCGAAAAAGUUUCGACUGUAUUUAGUUUUUUAUUUAUCUAAUUUUUUUAAUUAUAAAUUAUACUAAUUCAUUUUCAACAAAAAGAAGGGAAAAUACUUGUUUGAUCAACAACAUAAAUAAAUAAAUAAAUAGUGUUUGUGUGAGUGUGUCAAACAACUAUUUAUCUAUGGUUGUGAACAAAGACUAUUUCUCUAUCAAAGGAAUGAGAAAGAUUAUGAAGAAACCACUUCCAUAGAACCAAAUAAAUAUCACAACUUUCAAAAACAUUGGAUGUAUUUAAAAUGAUUAAGGUGUAGAAACAUUGAAUUCAUUUUCCCAUCUCACAGUAUCUCUACUUUAUUUUUCAAAGAGAUUAUCCAUGCAAUUCAAACCACUUAAGCUCUUAACUUAGCAAGUGUAUCACAUUCAUGUGAUUUCAGAUUGAUUGCAUAGCCUUGAUUCCUUUUAAUCAACCAUGGUUGCCAACAUAUUUCAUGUUGCAAUGUAUCCAUGGUUUGCAUUAGGCCAUCUUACCUCAUACCUUCAUAUAUCCAACAAACUUGCUGAGAGGGGCCACAAGAUUUCAUUUCUCAUGCCAAAAAAUACUAUAUCCAAAUUAGAGCAUUUCAAUCUCCACCCAAAUCUCAUCUCCUUCAUUCCAAUCACCAUACCACACGUCCAUGGCCUUCCUCUUGGUUCUGAAACAACUGCAGAUCUUCCUUUCUCACUACACUCCCUUCUCAUGACUGCAAUGGAUCUCACUGAGCCUAUAAUUGAAGAUUCCCUAAGAGAACUCAGACCUCAUAUGGUCUUCUUUGAUUUCACAUAUUGGUUACCUGCAUUAGCAUGUCAGUUAGGCAUUAAGGCUUUACAUUACUGCACAAUUAGCCCUGCCACUGUAGGAUAUCUCAUAAGCCCAGAAAGAAAACUUCAUGAAAAAUCAUUGACAGAAGCUGAUUUGAUUAACCCUCCACCAAGCUUUCCACCAUCAGCAAUUAAGCUACAACCUCAUGAAGCAAGAGGGUUAGCCACUUCUACUGUAAAUGGUUAUGGCAAAGACAUUUCAUUUAUGGAGCGUCAAUUGAUCGCUUUCACCAGCUGUGAUGCUAUCGUUUUCAAGACUUGCCGAGAAAUGGAAGGCCUUUAUUGUGAUUAUCUUGAAAGGCAAAUGAGAAAGCAGGUGUUUUUGGCAGGACCAGUUUUUCCAAACCCACCAACCUCUACUUUAAAAGAGAAAUGGGUGACUUGGCUAGGACGUUUCAAACCAAAAACUGUGAUUUUCUGUGCCUUUGGAAGUGAAUGCAUUUUGAAGAGUAAUCAAUUUAAGGAACUGUUGUUGGGUUUUGAACUUACAAAAAUUCCUUUUAUAGCCGCCUUGAAACUGCCUAUAGGAGCUGAAACGAUUAAAUCAGCUUUUCCUGAAGGAUUCAGUGAGAGAACAAAGGGAAGAGGGGUAGUUGAAGGGGAUUGGGUUCAACAACAAUUGAUUCUGAGUCACCCUUCUGUGGGUUGCUUUGUAACCCAUUGUGGAUCUGGGUCAUUAACAGAGGCCAUGGUAAAUGAAUGCCAAUUGGUCCUUCUACCUCAUGCAGGAGAUCAAUUCAUUAAUGCAAGAAUAAUGAGUGGAGAUUUGAAAGUAGGAGUAGAGGUUGAGAAAUGUAAAGAAAAUGGACUAUUUACUAGAGAAGCUGUGUGUAAGGCAGUGAUGGAUGUAAUGGACAAUGAGAGUGAAUUGGGUCAUAUGGUGAGAACCAAUCAUGCUAAAUGGAGGGAGUUCUUACUCAGUAAGGGGCUAGAAAACUCCUACGUGGAUAAUUUGGUUCAGAAGCUGGACAGUUUGCUAAAGUCUUGAUUCAAAAAGUACCAAGUAUCAUGAGAGAAUACAAUUAGAUGAGUGUCAUAUUUUAUAGAUUUUUUGGUUUGGUGUAUAACUUGAACGUUUCUAGACAAAAUAGAAAAAUUAGAUUCUCCUUGUUUGAAAGUCUAUCCCAAGCUAUAAAUAUAAAUGUGAUUGACAUACAAAAGUUUAAUACUUCUCUCAUAUUUCAAUUACAGGAAAUAUAGUGUUUUCCAAAUAAAAUAGCUAAAUACAAAGGCUGAAAGUGUUGUAGCAUAAUCACAUUCUUGAACUUCUUAAAUGCACGUUAAGAGACUAAAAAAUGCAUGAAACAGAGGAAAGCUGUUACUUGAUCCUUCAAUGCAAAUAAUAUAAGUGUAUCGCGUAAUGCCUAAGAAUAAUUAGUUAUCAUUACAAGGAGAUCAAAGUUGUUAUUGGUGAUCCUAUGUUAGUGUUACUCAGAACUCCUUUGCCGCUGAAGCUAGGAUUUUAGAAGGAGUGGUUGUGCUGAUAUGUGUACAAAGUUAGUCAUCGGCGUCGAUUCGACGAUUUGAGUUUUGAGAGAAAUUCGUUUUCUCUUAUUUUUAUUGAAUUUACGUCGACCUUAUCAUUGUCUCAAUAGUAGAAUGAUUUGCAGUUACAUAUAGACAUUGCAUUUAGGUUGGAGUCUUUGUGUUGAAAAAUAUGUGGUGUGAAUAUAUAUGUAUAUAUUUAGAUGUCGUUACUUGAUAUAUAUACAAUUUGUUUAUACUAUAUAUGAUUUUUGUCAUGUAGUUCUAUAUAUGUUAUUUUCGGAUUGAUGUCCCUUACUGUUGAUUUGUUUGAGCUAUAUGCCGCCCCUUUAGUUGAUGAAGAUGCAAGGAAAUACGAUACCGUGCCGUUGGAGGUUUCGAAAUACUUUUGUACUAUUAUUAAACUUGUUAGGAGAGUUUUUGAUAAGUGCUCAAAGUUGUACGAGAUAGGAUUUAUUUUUUGAGUAGUAAGAGACAAAAAAAUUUGUUUUAGGAGUUUAUUUUGUUUUACGCAUUAAGGUUACUCUUUGUAAUUUAGAAUACUACCAUUCAUUAUUAUUUAAAAUACAAUUGAAUAAAUUACUAAUUGGUUACAUUUAGAAUUUCGUUAGUUAAUACCUCAAAAAAGUAGGAUGUUACAAUAACAAUCAAGAAAACCAUUUCAAGAAAUGUCGUUCAUUUUCAUUAAAUUUUUAAAGAACUUUUAAAUAUUGUUUCACGGACGUACGAGUAGUUUGUCUCACCUCAUGUUAUCAUUUAAACAAAAAGAUUCAGCAAGAUCAACACUUUAUAUUUAUUUAGAUUUUAAUUGGAACUCUUUUGGCUAUUUACAAGUAUUUUACAAAUGAAAUCUCUUCUUUUAUCACAUCAAUAUCAUUUUUCUCAAUGCGGAAAUGUGUUGUUCUGUUUUUCUACUUGGUUAAUUAUUUUUUCACUAUUUUUUUUAAAACAACUUUGCAUUUCAUUUUGUUUUCUCUAUUUCAUUUUUAACUAUGUGAUUGCAAUUAAAUAAAUUUAAAAUCUAUUAAAUUACUUUUAGAGAUUAUUGAUUCUAUUUCUAAAAUUUAAAAUUAAGCAAGAGAAAAUACUGGUACUUAAAUCAUAACUUAAAUAAUAAAUGCUGAAAUUGUUUGACAUCUUACUUUUAAGUUUAGAGACCAAUUUAAAGAUAUUAUAUUACUAAACUAAAGAAACAUCUUGUUGAGUUAAGUGAUUUUAUUUUGACUCAAGUGGAGUUAAGUUAAGCAUCCUAUUCUUGUUUCCCAGUCACUACUUGAGAGUUGCGACCACACAAACCUUAUCUUUUGUCUGGACUGUGUUCACACGUGCUAACCAAGAGUGACACAACAUAGACUACAUCGAACACUACCACUUACUGGAACUGAUGGUCAGAUUAGGCUAAAUUGUAGGGUCAUCAAUACUACUCCAUCAAAGACUACCACUACUACUUAAUUAUUUAUUAAUCACCAUACUAAAUAAUUGCUCAUGUCACAUGUGUGUAUUAUUAUAAUUCUUUCAAUUAAUAAUAAAAUUGUCAUAAGUGCAAAUUAGUCAAUCACCAUACUGAAAUUCAUUUCGUUAAUUUGCACCAAUACAACUUUUUUAUAAAAUAUGAUUUGUAUUGGACUAUGGUACUAGCUACUACAAAACUUGGAGUAUACUAUAUAUAUUUUGGUAUUAAUAAUAUUAUUACACAUGUGAACAGUCGAAGAUCCAAUACUAUUUUUUCUUGGUAAUCAUUUAUAAUAUCAAAAAAAUGAAUCUCGAUCCGUGGUUGGUUCCAUGUGCAAAAUGGAUCCUAUGUUUUGUAUGCGGUUAUGAAUUUGAAUUUUGUUAGAAGACUUUGCUUAGUUCCUGCAUGCCCGAAUCCCGAAGCAUAUUUGUUUAAUGAGUUAACUAUUCAAAUUGAUAUAUCAAAAUCUAAUUUCUUCAAACUCUUGUUUAACGUCAAUUGACCUAUUCAAUCUCAUUGCUAGUAUCACAAUGGUGAUACUAUUUCUUGCUUUUUUUUAGUGUAUAAGUGGGUCUCAAAGUUGCAUAUCAUUCAUUUUUAAGUUACAUAUUAUUUAAUUAUAAUUUUUGUAUAUUAGUAUUUGAAAAAAUUCUCAAUUCCUCAAAUCCAACACCUAAAAAUAGUUCACUCGAUAAGUCUCACCAAUAAUUCUUUAUAAUUACAUUUCAACAACACUUAAUAAACAUUUAUAUUUUUUCAUCUCUAAUAUGGAUAGUUAGCAUACACAAAUAUUCGGUGAUAUUUAGCAUACACAAAUAUAAAAAUCGACAAUAACCAGUUUAUCAGUUACUUUUUUUUUGUUUAUGGCUCCAGAUUUUGUGUAAAGCUCCAGAUUUUUUUUCAAUAAAAGCUCUAGAUUUGUUGUAAAAAAAUUUCAGCUUUUUAUUCUGUAAAAAAAAGUCUAGCUUUUAAUAUAUUUGCGACGAAAUGUAUAUUAAACGAAAUAAAUCAUGACCAAUGAUUACUAUAUAUUUAUAUUGGAGCCGAACAAAUAUUUAUAUACAGUGAUUAUUAAUUUACAUAUAUCUAAAAAAAAAUACACACCUUUUAAAUUAUAAAUGUGUAUAUUAACAAUUAUAUAUAUAUAUAUAUAUAUAUAUAUAUUAAAAAUUUCUUUUAUAUAUUAAAUAAAAAUAUGUUUUAAUAAAAAAUAUUAUUAAAAACAUAGAAAAAAGAAAGGCAUUGGCAUAUUCUGUGUUUUUUUUUUAACAGCAAUUUACGCUAGGUAUGAAGUUUUCUUUUGGUACAAAGCUGUUUUGAAUGAUGCUGAGCAGAAACAGAUCAAAGACUCUGCUGUUAACAACUGGCUUCAUGAUCUCAAAGAUGCUCUCUAUAUUGCUGAUGACCUUCUCGAUCACAUUUCCACCAAAUCUGCUACUACUCAGAAGAACAAAGAGGUGAGUACUACUGCUUCUAGCUACUUGUCUCGCUUUUUCAACUUUGAAGAAAGGGAUAUGGUUCGUAAGUUAGAAGAUAUAGUUACUAGGCUUGAAUCCAUUCUCAAACACAAAGAUAUUCUUGGUCUUCAACAUAUUGCAACUCACCACCACUCUUCUUGGAGAACUCCGUCAACCUCUCUAGAUCAUGGAUCUAACAUAUUUGGUAGAAAUCAAGACAUAGAGGCCAUACUCAACUUACUGUUACAUGAUGGUGAUGAUGUUGACAGUGAUAAGAUUUCUGUGAUCCCCAUAGUUGGCAUGGGUGGUGUGGGUAAAACCACUUUAGCCCAAUCUGUGUUCAACCAUCAAAGUAUAAAGCAGAAAUUCGAUGUUCAAGCAUGGGUUUGUGUUUCUGAUGCUUUUGAUGUUUUGAAGGUUACAAAGGCCACUGCAGAGGAGGUUAAAAGUGCUUCUAACACAAAUAAUUUGAAUAUUCUUCAGCAAGAUUUGAAGGAUAAGUUGACCGGAAAAAAGUUCUUAAUUGUUCUGGAUGAUGUNNNNNNNNNNNNNNNNNNNNNNNNNNNNNNNNNNNNNNNNNNNNNNNNNNNNNNCGUAUUCAAAAGGUUGUUUCUAUGGUCCAAACUUUUCAAGGUUACUACUCUCUCGAGCAAUUGUCUAAUGAUGAUUGUUGGUCAGUGUUUGCUAACCAUGCAUGCCUUUCUCCAGAAGAAUCCACUCAGAAUAUGGAUCUCGAAAAAAUUGGCAAAGAGAUUGUUAGAAAAUGUAAGGGAUUGCCUUUAGCAGCACAAUCACUUGGGGGUUUGUUGCGACGAAAACGUGACAUCAGGGAUUGGAAUAAUAUACUCAAUAGUAAUAUUUGGGAAAUUGAUGAAAAGGAGAGUAAGAUCAUUCCAGCACUAAGAAUUAGUUAUCAUUAUCUCCCUCCCUAUUUGAAACGCUGCUUUGUUUAUUGCUCGUUGUAUCCUAAAGAUUAUGAAUUUCAUGCAGACGAUUUGAUCUUGUUGUGGAUGGCAGAAGAUCUUUUACAGCCUCCAAAAAAUGGAAAGACUUUGGAAGAAGUUGGUUAUGAGUAUUUUAAUGACUUAGCUUCAAGAUCUUUUUUUCAACGUUUUGGAAGUGGAAACAGCUCCCGGCGUUUUGUGAUGCAUGAUCUGGUGCAUGAUUUGGCAACAUUGAUCGGGGCAGAAUUCUACUUUAGAACAGAAGAACUUGGGAAAGAAACGAAGAUCGGUAACAAGACUCGUCAUUUAUCAUUUAACAAUUUAAGUAAUCGAGUGACGGAUAACUUUGAGAUUUUUGACCGAGCAAAACAUCUUAGGACUUUUUUGACAAUUGAUUUUAUACGUGAUCCAUUCAACAAUGAAAAGGCACCAUGCAUCAUUUUGUCGAAUUUGAAGUGCUUGAGAGUUUUGUCAUUUAAAAUUUUUCAUGAUAUUAGUGCAUUGCCUGACUCGAUAGGUGAACUGAUUCAUUUGCGUUAUUUGGAUCUAUCUUCCACAACUAUAAAGACACUACCGGAGUCAUUGUGUAAUCUGCAUAAUCUACAAACCUUGAAGUUGUACGGUUGUAAUCAGCUAACCAAACUUCCCAAUGGCAUGCAAAAGCUUGUGAAUUUGCGCUAUCUUGAUAUCCGCUGGACUCCAAAGUUAGAAGAUAUGCCUAAAGAAAUGAGCAAAUUAAAGCAUUUGCAACACUUGAGUUGCUUUGUUGUGGGCAAGCAUAAAGAGAAAGGGAUCAAGGAUCUGGGAACACUGUCAAAUCUUCACGGAUCACUUUCCAUUAGUAAAUUAGAGAAUGUUAGCAACAACAUUGAAGCAUCACAAGCGAAAAUAAUGGAUAAGAAGUACCUUGAAAAAUUGUCUUUUGAAUGGUCUGAUAAUGCAAAAGACCAAUUUACAAAUUCACAGAGUGAGAUGGAUAUACUAGACAAGUUACAACCUGCCAAGAACCUAAAAAAGGUGUCUGUAUGGGGAUAUAGAGGCACGAGAUUUCCAGAAUGGGUUGGAGAUCCUUCCUACCGAAAUUUGACUAAGUUGUCUCUAUAUCGUUGUGAUAAUUGUUGUAUUCUUCCACCACUUGGUCAAUUACGCUCUCUCAAGAAAUUGAUAAUCUAUAGAAUGAGUAUGUUGGAGACUAUUGGAUCUGAAUACGGUGAUUCCUUUUCAGGGAUUCUCUUUCCCCUCCCUUGAAUAUCUUGAAUUUGUUGACAUGCCAUGUUGGGAAGUGUGGCAUCAUCCCCAUCAGUCAAAUGCAUAUUUUCCUGUACUCAAGUCUCUUGUGAUUCGUCGUUGUCCCGUAUUGAGUGGAGAUUUGCCAUCUCAUCUUCCUGCUUUGGAAACAAUUGAGAUUUUCCAAUGCAGCCAACUUGCUUCGUCUCUCCCAAGUGCUCCUGCCAUCCGGAAAAUAGAGAUACGUGAAAGCAAUAAAGUAGCAUUGAGAGAGGUACCCAUUUCAUUGGAAGAGAUAGAAAUUGAUGGAAGAGGUGCACCGGAGUUCUUCUUUGAAGUCAUUGCCAUCACCCUACCAAUUUCCCUGAAAAUUGUAAAUAUUAAGAAUUGUUCGUCUGCGAUAUCGUUUCCGGGAGAUUGUUUACCCGCAUCCUUAAAGAGUUUGUCAAUCACAGAUUGUAGAAAUUUAGAUUUUCCAAAGCAAAAGCAGCAGCACGAGUCACUUCAAUGGUUGUAUAUAAGGAGUAGUUGUGAUUCUCUGACAACCCUCCCACUGGAGACCUUUCCCAACCUCAGUACUCUCAAGAUCAACCGGUGUGAAAAUCUAGAAUGUGUUUCUGCUUCAAAGACUCUUCAAAAUCUUAACCAUUUUCUCAUUAACAACUGCCCGAAAUUAGUUUCAUUUGCAAGAGAUGGAUUGUCUGCGCCCAACUUGAGAUCAAUGGGUAUCCACAAAUGUGUUAAUUUAAAGUCAUUGCCUUGUCAAGCAAAUACUCUUCUCCCGAAUUUAGAAGUGGUGCGUAUACGUGAUUGCCCAGAAAUGGAGACGUUUUGUGAAGGUGGUAUGCCGCUUAGCUUGAGAAGACUUGAUAUAGAGAAAUGUGAGAAGUUAAUGAGGAGCCCAUCUCUAAGUUUGCGUUGCUGCCUCCCUCCCUUACCUCUCUAUCGCUAACCUAUAUGUCAAGUUUGCACACGUUGGACUGCACGGAGCUUCUCCACCUCACGUCCCUCCAACACUUAGCAAUUUUUACUUGUUAC
RNAcentral lists this long non-coding RNA (75713 nucleotides) under Cicer arietinum (chickpea). RNAcentral describes it as "long non-coding RNA (CARI_LNC000021)". Lineage: Eukaryota; Viridiplantae; Streptophyta; Magnoliopsida; Fabales; Fabaceae. The record is from RNAcentral.